RNAcentral lists this long non-coding RNA (57263 nucleotides) under Theobroma cacao (cacao). Its description in RNAcentral is "long non-coding RNA (TCAC_LNC002702)". The record is from RNAcentral. Lineage: Eukaryota; Viridiplantae; Streptophyta; Magnoliopsida; Malvales; Malvaceae.
ACAGAGAUUAAAAAUAAAAAUUAUAACAACUUUAAUGACGUUGAACAUGUCAAUUCAUUUACCGAAUACAUUAUGUUUUUAAUAAUUGAUUUUGAAAUUCUAAACGUUGCAUCCGUAUUAAUAAAGAAAUAUCUAAAAAGUAUGAGAAACCGAUACGAGUAAUCCUAUAAGCUAAACUGGAAAGAACCUUGAAAAAGGGCAGGCAUCUCCAUAUGAACAGAGUUAGCCAUACCGAUUAGAUAACCUAGACAUACAAAAACAAAGAGAAUCAACAGUGACUAUCACUCCUAGCUCCUCAAUUUUCAUUCUCUUUCUUUCUAACCUUUCAAAAAUUCUGUGAUGAGCAACAUCAUGGCUUCUCACCAUCUCCUUCCUUGCCUGACCCUCCUAAACUUGGCUGCUCUACUUUCUAUAGCUUUUGCCUCCAAGGUCUCCUUGAAAUCAUCUGUCAUGUACCCUUUUACGUGCUCCAAGAGCAUCAAGACAUGUAAUGCCUCGUUAUACCACAUCAAUUAUGGCCUUGACAAAGUACAAAUCUCCACCUUUUACAAUAUAAACUCAUCCCAGCUCAACCCCAUUUCCCAUGGAAACAAACAAGAUUACCUUCUCUCAUCAGUGCCUUGUUCCUGAAAAGAUGUUGAUGGCUCUGAUGCAUACUUCUACCACACAUCCUAUAUAUAUAGUUCAACAGAAUGAUACGUUUAUAAAUGUUUCAACUCAGAUAUACAGUGGACAAGCUACGGAGGACAAAAGUCAUUUAUUGUAGGAAACAAAGUGCUCAUGCAUCUGUUAUGAGGGUGUGUAGAAAGUGACACUCAAAUCAUAGUAACAUAUACAGUUCAGCAAAACGAUACUUUAUCAGAUAUUGCCAUUCAGCUAUCUGCUAAUGUAAGUGAUAUAGUAAGGAUCAACAGAAAUUUGAUUCAAAACCCAAAAAUCAUAGAUGUUGGGUGGGUGUUCCAAGGGCAAAAAAGAUGUGACUAAGAUUUUGGUUCAAUCAAGACCUUAUAUCCUAAUUUAUGUAUUUGAAACGUUUGCUUCAUAAUUAUCAAGCUACAACCAAGAAAUGAUACCGUUAAGGUAUUAUGUGUGAGCAAUUUUUUGGGCCUCCAUAUGAAUUACUUCUAAUAUUUGAGCUGUGUACCAUGUUACUUUCAACCGUACAGAACUAUUUAUUUAUUUAUUUGUCUUAAUUACCUUAAAUUGCCAUCUUUAUCUUAAACAUUUUCUUUAAACAUCAUGAGACCUUCAUUUUUAUCAUUCAUGAAAAUCUGUUUCAGCUUCUUGUCUAUCUCCCUUUCCAAUCAUGUGAAACUUACAGGAAGCUUAGCUUUACAUAAACUAAUGCUUUGGGCAAGAGAACUCAAAUGAAACUUAGAAGUGGUAAAAUGAUGUAUCCAAAAUUCCUGUACGCAUGGCAUCUGACAUUACAAAUUUAACACAGCUUCUACGCGUUAACAACCCACUAACAGAAAGAAUUAAUCAUUCAAAAUCGAAAAUCUGGUCAAUUAUUAAAAUCUCUGAGAUUUUAGUUACAUGGAUAAAAGUAAAACUCAAAGGAUAUUUUGUGUAAUUUUCCCAAGAAAAAUUCUAGCAGUCUUAGUUCCAAAGGCAGCAGAUAUCAAACGCUUAAAACAUUCGGUUGGGGUACUACUUAUCUGAUCACCAUAAGUUGUACAAAUGGACAGAUCAACUUAACCUGAGAUCUAACCUCUUUCACUGAUCCUGGUUAAGACAUUGACAAUAAAUAGAAAUUGUCAAAUCAGCCCAUCCAGUGUUGUCUGAACGUCUUGGGCAUUGCAGCUAGAACUUUCAAUCAUUCUCAGACUCUUCAAACAAGCUUAUGCCUACACGUCAUAUAAAGCAUUGAACAUUACUUUUUACUGCUUUAUAUUGUUGUCAAAAAGCAAGCAAAAUACAAAUUUAGGUUUUGGAUUCAAGGAUAUCAUUCCAUGACUUAUCAUCCUCUAGUAUCCAUAACACUAUAUGUAUGAUAUUUAACUAGGUUCCCUUGAUGUGGGGAGGCUUCCCAUAUGUAUUCAUGCUCAAGCAUCUUAAGCUUUUCAAAUUGAAUGUAAAACAACGUAAAAUAUAAAACCCCAAAUAGCACCUUGAAUGAAAUUAAGGUUAGAUACUUCACACCGUGUAUUCAAGCAGAACCCCUUCUCAAGCGAUCAAGGAUCUGCAGUCAUUAACAAAUAGCAACUAUUAUCACUUUGCUAAUAGAAAACAGUCAAAUCAGAUAUAUUCACAACGCACUAGUCAAUAUGUGCACGCAUAGAUACAUAUUUGUGCAAGUUUUCUUGUGAUUAGCAAGAAGGGGCAUUUAGAAAGUGAUAUCAGCUAUUUAUUAAUUGAAGAUAGGCAACAACUACAAUAAUAUGGAUCCUUAGAAGUGAAUCUCCUAAUAUAUCAUCAAGAAAGUGAUAAAAACUUAUAGUCCUACGGACUAUAUGUUGUUCCACACAUUGAUUAGUGUCCUCAAAAAAUUGGAAAAGAAACGAUCUUUCAUGCUAUCACGUAAAAAAGAAGUACAAUGAGGUAGUCAAAAGAAGUUCAUCAACAUACCAUGACAGGAUACUGUAUAACCCAUCCAAAAACUGGAAUCUGACAGAGGAAGACCCUGACAGAAGGCCAAAAGCCACUAAAAGAAGAACAAAAUGCAACAACAGUUAGAAGCAGCAUAAGCAAAUUAUCCUAUUUAAGCUCAUGAUGAGAUGAGAAACUAACCCAAAAAGAACAAUGCAACCAUAUAUCUCCAAGAUUAUACCAACUAUCGGCCAACGAACAAAUAAGAAAAAGAGACCCAGAAGAAAAGAAGCAGAACCCUGCAUAAGAAAGGAGAAGAUUAAAAAAGGAGAGAGAGAGAUGAAAUUACAUAAAUCUACAUCCAAUACGAUACAUUUCAAUUCUUCAAUAUAUAUAAAACAUUUGAGAACAAAGUAGUUCUUGUAAGAACAAGUUAGUGUUAUAUCCUAUGUUAAAUAUGGUUAGACUUUUUAAUGGCCUUAAAUUCAGGUAGCAUUACCAUCUCUUAACAUUUGGUUUUAGGUUCUAUGCUUAACAUGACUUAAAAGCUCAAGUUUCAAUUGCCUGGUUUCAUAGUUCAGAUGAUAACCCUGUUCUUCUUGAUUGUUCUAAUAAGCCCACAUGUGAGAUUGUGUUAUGUAGUGCUCUCACAUCAGUUGCAUUUAGGAGUCUAUAAUGGCCUUUCAUUCAGGUGUACCUCCAAACCUAUAUCUAAUGAUAGGAGCUCUAUUUUCAUUUUGUUUGAGAUUUGUUGUCACUUCAUCUCCAAGUUGACAGUGUUUACCUAUUGUCAAAUGUCAAUAUUUGCUAUCUAUGCAUAGUUCAUAGAUAGUUCUAUUCAUCUCAUUAUUUUAUUCCUUACACAUAAAUAGAAGUUUCAAGAGGGGUUAUAUCCCACAAUGCAAGUUUCAAGUUUCUAAAGUUCUUAUAUUUGGUUGGCCCCUCCAACCCAUAACUAAUUGCUUUUAGGUUUCAACCCCCACUACGUGGUUGGAAGAAGGGAAAAGAAAAAAAAAUGAGUAAGUAUGAGAAAAAGUAGGAAUUAGUUGUUUUUAAGUGCCCAGUAAACCCCCCCCCCCCCCCCCCCCAAAAAAAAAAAAAAGAAGAAAAUUUAAAAGAUAAAAUAAAUUGAAAUGGAGGAGUGGGACACAAAUUUUUUUUAAGAAAGAAAAAUGACUAAUAUAAUCAUAUAUUUAUUUAUUUAUUAUUAUUUUAUUUGGAUUUUAUGUAGUCUUCCAACUAAACUAACAUCUCUCAACUUGUGACACUAACUCAAUCAAUGGCUUCAUAAAUUAGUAUAGAUGCUUAACAAGCAAAACUAUUACUUUCAUGCCAAAUAAAAUACUGCUAAAUGAUCGAUAAAGAUGGAGCUAAGUCCUAAUCUGCCACAAAUACUUGGAUGGCCUUCAUACUCCAUAACAUACACUUCCUUAUCUAGAGGAGACAUCGCAUAUAUUUAUAGAGAAUACAAUUAGUAGAGAAACUUUUGAGGCAUUGAAGCAGGGUUGAAGCAAAUUGGAAAGAGCACCAUGCCUUUUAUCAGCCAAAUUAAAACUAAUACCUAAAGAACGCAAGGCCACUUCCAAAGUCUUGCAUAACAAUAGUAUACAAAGCAACUGCUUAAAAAUGCUGUUAUGAUAGAAGAAACCAAGCAUAAAUGAUACAUCAAGAUGUUCCUAACUUUCAUUAGAAAGCCCAAAAAACAAGGCUUUUACUAAGUGGCCCUAUUGCUAUACAGGUUGAUCUGAAAAACUAAGACUGCAUGAUAAUCUUCAGAUAGGAUAAGGAUUUUCUCAAGUCCACAAACAUGGUGCUCAUGCCACUGAAGGUAUCAAAGACCUUUCAUGAAUGAUUUAUUCCAAAGAAUAAACAUGAAGAAAUUAAAACCAUUGUAAGAAUUAUGGACCUAGUGAUUGGCACAAGGUUUUGGUAUUGGAUACCUUGUAGUUUUUCCUGUUAGUGAAAAGCUGCAAAGUAGAAUACCAACCGAUCAAAAUUGCCACCCCUGCUAAGCAAAAAAUCUGAUUGCAUAAUGUCAGAAAGUUAGAGUACUGAAAUAUAAUAAAAAAAAUUAUCAUAUUAUGUCAUAUAAUCUACAUCAAAAUAUGUAGUUUCUAAAGAAAGCCUUACAUUUCCUAGAGCAAGUAGACCCCUGUCAAAGAAGAGGAUUACACCAAGAAAUGAGAAGAAGAUACCAAAGCCAAUAAGACCCAAGCCAAUCUCUGCAAAAUUAGGCCAAAAUUUCUCAUAUUACAAGCCAAAGUUAAAUUAACUAAUUAAAUAUCUCAAGAGAAAAUAGAAAUAAUUACAGUCAAACAAGUUCAGUGAAAUAUAAAUUUUGUUCAAGUUACAUGGUGAAUUUGAUACCCAAUAAAACUUCACUUCAUGUGUGCUUAUGACCAACUACCCGUCCAUACAUUCAAAACCAGAAGACUGCUCAUAACCCAACAUCAAUGCUUGACACAAUGCAAUCAAAUGUAGGUUCAGUCACUUUAUGACAGCCUACUUUUUUGCAUUCUAAUAAGUUCACAUAAAAUUCAAAGAAACUACAUCGUGCUUAAAUCAUACACUAGGUGAGGUAGUAUGAGAAAUAUAAGUAGAAGAUUCUAUGACAUUGGAAUUUAAGAAAAUGGAAUUUGGAUGUUAAUUUAACUGCAUUUGAAAAGAACCAUAAUUUAAAACAAAACUAUCUUCAUGAAGACAGACAAAUGCUCUUUGGUGAAGCCUGCAUACAUCAAAUACCCAAUCACAUGAUAAUUACAUCCAGUGAAACAAAAUUAUUCUACACAAUUUGCACAUUGGCGCAUGUCUAAUCACUGCAAAAGAUAUAAUGUUUCAAUAAUCCAUAUCAAGCAUGGUAAGGCCACUGUGUGCAAAGUCCAAAUGAGCUCAUAUUUACACAAGAAAACUAUGCUUACUUUUUUGCUCAGUUAUUUCAUACACCAUCUUGAAAUUAUCAGCUGCAAUCCGGAUAGGCGUAAGACCUGUAGGAAGUUCAACUAAUCUACAACAUGAAUGAGAAUUGAAGUAGGAUUCAGGAAAUCAUAUAUUGGCAAUAAAUUAAAACCAUGUUACGACAAAUUUAUGUGUAGUUUUGAGAGUAAGUUGAAUUGAUGUUUAUGAACAAAUCAAAAUCCCCCAUAAUAAUUCAAACAAAUUAACAAGUUACCAAAACAAAUUAUUUAAAAAAUAAAUACAAACAUUUCCUCCUUUAGAUUCACAUGCACAGAAAAAAAUCAUGUAACAAAGAAAAAGAAAAGAAAAGAAAACAAUUCAAGAUAAUAGAAAAAAAAUAUAAAUAUAAACCCAGAAACACUAAAGACUGAUCAAUUGAAAAUCAACGGAAAAAGAGAGUUUACCCUUCAGCAAAGCAAUGAAAGCCGGUCGCUGCUUCCCUGGAAGGCUGAAGCAGAGCUCCGCUACCGAUUGUUUUGACUUCAUUGAAAACGGUCCGUUUAAUGAAUCAUGAACAAUUGCAGGCUUGGGCUUGUAAUUAGAUCCGCUACAAAUGGACCAUUAAUUAAAAGUCCAAAGCCUAGGUUGGGCCUAGAAUCCAAUGUUAAUGCUAGCCCAGUGUUCGGUCAGCUCCUCCAUUGCAAAGAGAAGAAGAAAUCAUGCUAUGACCAUGAACGCUGCCAAAAUCAACAUCAUGUGUCCCAAAAUCAAAGUGAAACUUGCAAUCGCUGCUCAAACACAUUGGUUAAAAGUAUUCAUAAGUACCUGCGCUUUGGGUUUUCGUUAAUUUAGCUUCUUUAUUUUAAAAUUAAUUAAUUUAAUUUUUAUACUUUAAAAUUUUAUACAACUGAAUCUCACUCGUUAAUAUUUUAGUAAUACUGUAAAAUAAAUACUGUAAAUAAUUAUUACUGUACACACUCAACAAUCAUUUUAUCUUAGCUAGAUAAAAAACAUAGUUUAUUUUAUCUAUGAUAACUUUAAAGAUUGAUUUUAGAGUGCUCGUCAGCAAUUAAUUAACAAUGCAUUCCUUUCAACUUCCUAAGGCUAGGGGAUGGAAGUCGGAUAAGAUUUCCAUUCAUUAUAAUUAUUGCUUACUAUAAGUUAAUUUGACAAAUUGUGUUUUUGUAUUUUAAACAUGUUAGAUACGAUUACAUAUGAAACACAUUAAAUUAAAAAUGAAUACGACAUGAAUAAUAUUCGUAUCUUAAAUGUAAAACACGUAUAUAUAUACGUUUAAUAAUCGUAUAACACAACAUGACAUUAUUAACACACUUGUUAAAUGUGUCAAUAUAUGACAUGACAUGAUUAAUAAUAUGAUGAACUCAAUUAAAUAAAAAUAUUUAUAAUUAAAUAUAAUUUUAUUAUUUAAAUUUAAAACUAAUAAUUAUAAAAAUAAUUAUAACCAAAUAAAAUAAUAAUAACAACAUCAAAUAUAACAAAAUAAAAAUUCAAAAUUAGGCUUUGGACAUGGUAUAAUUGCAUUAUUGUUUUUAUAAAAUUUAAAAAACUUAUUAAAAUUAUUAUUUAAAAUUAUUUAAAUAAGGUUAAAACAGUAUUUGAUUAUUAAUUUUAACAAGUUGAUAAGCAUGCCACAUAUACAUGUUUAAAUAUAAUAAUACAAUUAAACACGUAUAUAUAUUUAAAUACAAUAAUACGAUUAAUUAAACGUACUUAAAUGUAUUUUAAACGUGUUACUUGUGUCUGACACAUUAAGAGAUAAAAUACGUUAAAAUUAAAUUCAAACUUAUUUAAUCUCGUAUCUCCUUAUAUCGUAUUAACGUGUUGUGUUCAAAAUUAAUAAAUCUAACUAAACAAAUAUUUGAACCUCUAGUGGAGCUCUAAACCCCAUAAAUAAUGACCAUGAUGUCAGUUUUGCUGGGGGGUUGGUGCAAUGCACCUUGUAAAAGAAGCUUGUUUUUCUUUUAUUGAUUUGUGUACAUAAAAAAAAGGAAAAACAAAAAAAUUGGCUAAAGCCCAAGCUGGGAAGUCAUUAUCAUCAUCAAUAACUUAAUUGAAUCAAAUAUGACUUGAGUAAAAUAGCUCAGUUCAAUUGAUUUAUUGAAUUUAUUGAUUUUAAAAAGUUUCAUCUAAUUGAUUCAUUUAAUCGGUUUUCGAUUUUAAAAUUUUUAAACCGAGCUAAUCAAAAGAUUAAAUUAAUAUUAUAUAUCAUUUUUAUAUUUAUAUAAAAUUUAAAUUUUAAUAUUAAUUUUUAUAUUUAUAUUUUAUAAUUAUGAAUAAAAUUUAUAUAUUUUAAUAUUGUAAUUUAAAAAAAAUGAUCAUUUUGAUCCAAAAUGGAACCAAUUCAUGUUUGAUCCUUUUGAUAUUUUCUUAUAUUUGGUCAAUUUUGAUCAAUUUUUUAAAAAUAUUUGCUUCAGUUUAUUUUUAAAUAUAACGAAUCAAACCGAUCAAACCAUCCAAUUGCUCACUCUCUACUCUCAGGGCAUGCUUAGUUAAGGAAAAUGGAAUAGUCAUUCCUCCUCUAUUCUCAUUAUUGAGAUAAAGCUGUAUUUGGUUCAAUAGAAUGGUUAUUCUUCAGAAUAACCAUUUCAAGAGAAACUUGAAUAGUCAUUACCAAUACCUCUAUUGGUAAUAACUAUUAUAAAUUGUCAAAAAUAAAAAAAGAAGUUGAUUAGACAAAUAUACAUUUUUACAAUUUAAAAAAUUACCUUAUAAAAAAAUACUAAACCUUUUUUUUUUCUCCCUCUUCCUCACUCCUUCUCUCUCUAAAGCACAAAAGACACAAAAUUUUUUACUUCGUUUUCAAAAAAAGAGAAAUGAAAAAAUUUAAAUAUUAUUUAAUAUAUUAAUAUUAUUUCACUAUAAUAAGUAUUAUAAAGUAUAUUACUUAAUAUUAUUAUUUGAAUAUAAUAAAUGCAAUAAAGAAUAUUAUUUAGUAUUAUUUAAAUUUAAUGAAGAAUAUAUUUUAUCUUUAAUAUUAAAUAUUAUUUAAUUAUAAUAAACGGUUUAAUUAUUUUAUAAUAUAAAAUAUUAUUAAAUUAUAAUAAAAAUAUGUUUGUAUUUUGGUGAAAAUAUUAUUUAAUUAUAGUAAAAGUUAUUUUAAUUUUAUUACUCAAAAUACUUUUAUCUUUUAACAAAAUAAAUUCUUUAAUUUUAAUAAAGAGUAUUUAUUUCUCAUAAUAGUUUUUUUAUUUUUAAUUAAAAAAUAUUUAAAUUUUAAUAAAAGGUACUUGUAUCAUUUACUUAUUAUUUUUUAACCAUUUUUAAAAUUAUUCUUACUAACCAAAUAAUGAAAUAAGUAAUAAUAGUAAUUUCUAUCUUAUUUUAUUUUCAUGAACAAUCUACAUAAUAAUUAUUUUUUCUCUAUUAUAUUCUCUUGAAAUGAUGAUUUUAUUUUCAUUUUAUUUUUUUCAAUGAACCAAGCAUGCUAUCAAUCUCAUUGACAGCUGCUUUGACAUAUUCUUCGGAGUGCCAAACUUGUUAUGGUAGAAAAGGGUCCGACCAUGGCAAAUAAGCCUCCUUUAUAAAUUCUCCCAUCCCAUGGAUCAUCAACACCAUUAUAAUAAAUUGUCGCCUAAAGAUAUUUGAGCGGUGGCUUUCUUCAACCAAAUUGGUCAAAGACAUAGGCUGGGUCCGUCUUUGCCAGGAUUUGGGCUUUUCUGGCCUAACUAAAGUUUCUGUCCACUGUAGAGCCCAAAAGAUAUUGGGCUUUAUCUCUCAACUAUUAGUGGAAGAUUGCCCAAAACAUUUGGGCCAAAAAGCAAAAGGGCAAGAAAAUUUGAAUACAGAGUCGCACAACUUGCCUCAAAACUACUUAUAAACCAUAUUCCUCCUUUCCUUCCGUUUCUCCAACUUUCUCUUCUCCCCUUUUUUUGAAUUUGUUUCAAUCAAGAUCAUAUUAUUGCGGCUUUUUUUGGGGGUAGAAGAAAGCUCUUUUGUCAUCGAAAUCAUUGAUUGGUACCUUCUCUCUUUACCCCUUUGUUUAAUUUUCUUUUCCAAAUUUUAUUUUACUAUCAGUUGCAUGAAAUUUUCUAUUGUUAAAUUUAAAUAUCGCUGGGGAAUUGUAAUAAAACCAUAUGAAAAAUGAAUUAAUAAAUGUGGUUUUUCAAUGCUAAUUUGGAUGUUUUAGUUUGCUUGUAAAAACAUUUAGCUAAUUCUGUUUCUUCGCGUCCGUAUUAAUUUUUAUGUUAUUGGCAACGGUGUAAUAUUGGUAAUCUGCUACGUUCAAAGAUAUGGAUGUUACUGUCUUAGGCAUAACCUUUCAAGUUAAAAUGAUCUGCUUCAACUUUUUACUCGCUUUUAGAAUCAAUAUGAAUUUGGGUUGUUGCUUUUGCAAGCAAUUAAUGUCAUUUGAAAGCAUAGGUCUACUGGGGUUGGACUCUUAUUCUAGGUCGACUUAAAAUCCGGAUAGUUUCCGUUAUCAAGUUUAGGUUGCAUCUUGCUUCAGUAACCUCUAUCUAUUACUCUUUUCCUUACUUUGAUGUUUUAGGGUAUAACUGUUUCUGUUACAACAGUUCAUCAUAGGAUCCCGAAGCUUUUAUCUUCUUGAACCUUGGCUUCUUUAGCAUAUUUUUGGUUGUGAGACAUUGGAGAGGAAAUGAAUUUAAAUUACUAGAUAGUAUUAAACUUUAUGUUUAUUAUUGAUUUUAUUUUAAGAAUUUAUCUUGAUCUCAAAUGAGUUGAGUUACAUUAUGGUUUGCUCGGUUGGGGUGCUUAGUUUUCCCAAACAACCAAAUUGAGCAUUAAAAUGAGUACCUGUUAGAAUAGUUAUGUUUGUAUCAUUAGUGUAUGGAGAGAGAAAGAGAUCAGGCAACUCAAUUUCCUUGCUAGUUAUUGCUGUAACAUUCUGAAAUUUUAAUUGAUAUUGAUGUGAGACAAUGUUUUGUAAUAAAAUGUCAAGAUAUUUAUUCCAAGCUAAGCUGUCUAAUUUGAGGAGAUGUAAGCAAUAUUCCUUCCGAUUCUUUGGCCUUAUUCUACAAAUUUGUGGAUCGCUGAUAAGAAGUGGCCUUUUUAAACUUUAAGUAUAGGAGUGAAAAGGUCAAAAGACCUUACAACCUGGAAAUGCAACUUUUAGGUUAAAGAAUCAAUUUGGAAUAAUUUAAAUUGUUUACAAGGUUUAAUAUAGUUCGCAAUCAGCUUUGUUGAACUGUCUUGUGGUUCUUUGGGUUUUGAUUCGGUUUGGUGUUGUGCUGGUACAUAGAUUUUAAGAAUUCUCAGAUUUGAAACGCUAUCUACUUGCUUAAGACAGGUAAAAAUUACAAAAGAAAAAAACUGUUUCUUUCCAACAGAAAAAAGAACAUAAUGAAACUAAGAACUAAGUUGUUGCUGAUGUUUUGUUUUUCCCAAGACACGUUGGGGUGUUGCGGUUUCACCAUCAAAGGAGAAUGAAAAUUUUAAUGGUUAGUUGUAAAAUUUGUUUGUAAGAAUCUUUGUUGUUUUUGUUCGCCGGUCACUUUAACAUAUCCUGUCUUUCACCUAGGAAAGUUUUAUUGUUGUGUGUGUGUGUGUGUUUUUUUGUGGUUAUCUCUUUGUAUAUGCUUUGCUUGCAGUGUAAGAGCUUAUGGGCAUUUUCUGCUUUUAUAUUCUUUUUGGGUUUUUAGAUGGGUUUUCUUUUCUGGGGUAUGCUUGUAUUUUUGUUAUUUAUAGUUGUGCUUUAUAUAUUUGUCUACUUUUUUGAAGGAAGAAUCAUUGGCCGCACUUUCAUUCUUUUUUGGAAGAGAAAGAAGAUAAAGGAUGGGAAGAAGAUUAGGAGUUGGAAGGUCCCCUUCCUCCUCCUCCUCUGUGCUUAACCAAAAGAUUCUCAGCCGUCGACUCUUGUCAUGCCAGCAGUAUGCUGGUUCCACAGUCGAUGAAAUUGUGGAGCUCCUUCAAACUAACUACCCUGAUUACAGACGCAUCAAGAAGCAACCUUUAACCAGGGUGGUCAAACAGGCCCUACAAGCUCUUCAGUCCUCUUCCAAAAACAGCCAAAAGGCCUCUCUUUCCGUUUCUGAUUUCAACUUUGAUGAUGAUGGACACAAUGAACUUGCCAUUGCACCUUUUUCUUCUUCUCCUCCUCCUACCUGUUCUCGGAAGAAGCCAAGGAGAAUGGAUGAGACUGAAGAAAGGUUACAGCGUAUGGAGGAUUUGCACAUUCAAAGGCGACAGAUGCAGCACAACUCCAACUCUGAGUUAGACUCGGAGUCAUCUUCUUCUUCAUCAUCGUCUUCAUCUGAAGAAGAAGAAGAUGGGGCAGUUUCGACUUCGGAAGAUGCCAUUUAUGGCCAAAAAGACGAGCCCAAGUUUGAUUUAAUGAAAUCAAUGCUACGACAAGGUUACACUCAAUCCAACAGCUCAAUAUCAAAGCUUGAAGAAAAAAAUAUUGAAAUGGAGAUUGCAACUAAUAAGCCUAAGAGUAAGAUUGAUAUGACCAAUGCGAACAAAGAGAGUGCUGAAUUGAAAAAGGAAACAAAGGUUUCAGUUUCUGUAGGCGCUGCUGCUGAUGGUGUGGAGGUGAAAGGGAUAGAGGGGCCAAGGUUCAGGGAUUUAGGUGGGAUGGGAGGAGUGUUGGAGGAGUUGAAGAUGGAAGUCAUUGUGCCUCUUUACCAUCCACAUUUGCCACGGUGGUUGGGAGUCAGGCCAAUGGCUGGCAUUUUGCUCCAUGGACCGCCUGGCUGUGGGAAGACCAAAUUGGCCCAUGCCAUUGCCAAUGAGACUGGUGUUCCCUUCUAUAAAAUUUCAGCUACCGAGGUGGUUUCUGGUGUCUCAGGUAUUCGCCUUCUGUUAUAAGUCGUGCUGCUGAAUAUGAUAAUUAGGCUGAGCAUGAUUCUUGAAGUUGUUGUGUAGAGUUUGGAUAAAUGAAAUUAUUUCGUUAACAAUGAUGGGAAGCUUUAGUAAAGGCAAUGUGUUUGCUAAUAGUUUAUAGUUUCAUAUUUAAUUUCUCAGGUGCAUCAGAAGAAAAUAUCAGGGAACUCUUCUCAAAAGCAUACAGGACUGCCCCAUCGAUUGUAUUCAUUGAUGAGAUUGAUGCUAUUGCAUCUAAAAGAGAAAAUCUGCAGAGGGAGAUGGAGCGCCGGAUUGUCACUCAGUUAAUGACUUGUAUGGAUGAGUCUCAUGGACUUGUGCAACCAAGUGAUAAAGAGUCAAAUUUGGAGAGCUCUGAUUCCAAACCUGGUUAUGUCCUUGUAAUUGGAGCUACCAAUAGACCUGACGCUGUUGACCCUGCACUACGGCGGCCUGGACGAUUUGAUCGCGAGAUUGUUCUUGGUGUUCCGGAUGAAAAUGCUAGGCAUGAGAUCCUUUCUGUGCUUACACUAAACCUUAGACUCGAAGGCUCUUUUGAUCUUUGGAAAAUAGCUAGGGCUACACCAGGGUUUGUUGGAGCAGAUUUGGCUGCCUUGGCUAACAAGGCUGGUAAUCUUGCCAUGAAGAGGAUCAUAGACCAAAGAAAGCAUGAGUUUUCUAGAGAAUCUAUAGAUGAGGAACAAGCUGAUGAGUGGUGGAGGCAGCCUUGGUUGCCUGAGGAGAUGGAAAAGCUCACCAUUACCAUGGCUGAUUUUGAGGUAAUUAAAGCUAAACUUUUUUCUUUUCAUUUAUUUAUAUGAUUAAAAGUAACCUGACAUGUAUGCUUAGUGGCUUACAUGUGUUCUAUGCUAUUAUCUGCAUGUCUGUCAAUGCCAUAGAUAUCAAAGUUGUUUGGGAAAUGAAUUUGUAUUGUCAUUUCUAGAUUCAAUUUUACUACUUGCAAGUUUCUCUUUGACUGCUAUGUGAUAUAGUUUAAUUGCCAUGAUUAAGAGUUCUAAUGAACUAUAGAGUUACACUUGAUGUUUUUAUAAUAGUUUGAAACAAAGGUGUUGUUUUUCUGUAUCUGUUAUACAGAAGUAAUUCCUUCACAUUAGAAAGUUUUAUAUGAAACUUAUGCCCUUUGUUUAUGUAUUUGCUUACUUGAUCAUGCCCCUUUCUUUUUCUCUUUUUUAUAAAGAAAUUGAAAAAUGUUUUACCUGCAGGAAGCAGCUAAAAUGGUUCAACCCUCAUCAAGAAGAGAGGGAUUCUCUACAAUUCCAAAUGUUAAGUGGGAGGAUGUUGGUGGUCUUGAUUUCCUAAGGCAGGAAUUUGACCGUUACAUAGUUAGGCGCAUAAAAUUUCCCGAGGAUUAUGCGGUAAUUAUAGAUAGUAGCUACCUCUUUAUUCUCUCUCUCUCUCUCUCUCUCUCUCCUGUUCCAAAAGGGUUAAGAAUAGACAUAAAAAAUAGAAAUGAUUUAAAAGGAGUAGGAUUAGCCUUCUUAACAUGGUAAAUGGAAGGAAGCCAACCAUGGAAAAAUUGGUUAGAAUGUUUGAAACAUGUCUUACAUGGUCUCCAACUUUGUUGACUUGCAAGCUCAGCAUAACUACAAUCUAGGCCCAUAUAUACUUUGUCAGUCAGAUUGCUAUUAUAAAAUGUGCUUUUCAAAUCUUUGAAUUAUUCACAAUGUCAGGAAUUUGGAGUGGACUUGGAGACAGGAUUUUUGCUUUAUGGACCACCAGGCUGUGGUAAAACAUUGAUUGCAAAGGCUGUCGCUAAUGAGGCUGGAGCCAAUUUCAUUCACAUCAAGGUCAGUCUGCAGCGUAUAUUUCCUCUUGAUUCCAAUUUCUUGUUCACUUUUUGUUUGUUAAAGAUGAUGUUAACUGGUACUUCAAUGCUGUAAGCUAAUUUUUCUAUGUUUGUGUUGCAUUAAACUCUUAACGAUUAUGAGUGCACUUGCUGAUUAGGGUCCUGAACUUUUGAAUAAAUAUGUUGGAGAAAGUGAGCUGGCAGUGCGGACAUUAUUCAGCCGUGCUAGGACAUGUUCACCAUGCAUACUUUUUUUUGAUGAGGUUUGUGGUUCUCUAUUUUUCCAUUUCUAAAUGAAAGAAACAAUUCUGGAGAAAAUAUUACUACUCCUAGUGUCUUGAGAUUUGAUAUUUUUGACGUCUUUCUGAUAAUGUGUAGGUGGAUGCUUUGACCACAAAGCGUGGAAAAGAGGGGGGAUGGGUUGUUGAGCGACUUCUGAACCAGGUUAGAUAAUCUAUAAUGGUGAUCUCUUAACAAACUCAUGAUCAACUUUUUUAUCUUGUCUGUAUAACAAAUUUUCAAAUUGCAAAGAAUGACAUGGAAGCAUUGGUCAUAAUUGCAGUUACUGAUAGAGUUAGAUGGUUCGGAUCAGCGGCGUGGAGUAUAUGUUAUUGGUGCCACUAAUAGGUAGAAUCUGUUGUUUCCAGUUUUUGAACGAGGAUCACCGUUUAUCUUUUCUUUACUCUGUUUGGUUUUGGCAGACCUGAGGUGAUGGAUCGUGCUGUCUUACGGCCUGGUAGGUUCGGCAAACUUCUCUAUGUCCCUCUCCCCAAUCCAGUUGAACGUGGGUUGAUCUUGAAAGCUCUUGCUAGGAAGAAGCCAAUAGAUGCCAGUGUCGAUUUGAGUGCCAUUGGACGUAUGGAGGCAUGUGAUAAUUUAAGUGGAGCUGAUCUUUCUGCACUGGUAUGCCCGCAAUUUGUUUUUUUGCUUGAGUGAAAGUUAAAGAUUGAAAACAUCUUCUGAAACCUUUUGUGGGGCUGGGUUUGCUGCAUUGCUUCAUCGGUAUGCUUGGAGAUCAAUGUCCAUUAACUGCCAUUAGGAAACAACUAACAGAAUUUCUUUCUUUCUUUUCUUUUUGCUCCUUUCGACAGUAUCCAACCAUGUAUACAUAGAAGCCUCGUUCUACAUUAAAGUCCUAGAAAGGACUGGUUUUUCCCUGAAAGACUAAUUUACAUUUUUGAUGUUUCCUCAUUAAAUACUAGACAUGUUAAGGCUAGCCCAGAAAGUAAAAUACUUUGCAAAAGAACCCCUGAUCUGUUUCAUGAUUCUAGACUUGAGCUAUGCCCCUUGUGUGCAUUGUACUUCUAGAAGAACUUAAUCAAAAUUGUAAAAAUUUUAAUCAAAAUUGGGCUUGAAAAUAUUCAGAUGAAUGAAGCUGCAAUGGCUGCUUUGGAAGAGAAACUCACAUCAACUGGGAUCUCAGAUACUUCAUGGACAAUCAAGACAUUCCAUUUUGAACGAGCACUGAGUAAAAUCUCACCCUCAGUCUCCGAUAAGGUAUAUUUUACCUUCACUCACUCAAUUAUGGCUUCUGACGAAUAGAUUCUUGAUAGCAUUGACUAUGUAAAUCUGUAAUUACCCUAUUUUUAAUAUCUUGAUCAUCUGGGAACAGCAAAAGCAGUUCUACCAGGCAUUGUCAGAGAGCUUCAAAGCAGCUUGAGAAGAGACAAAUCCCCUUUGUUAUACCAUUAGCAGGAGCUGUAAUUGAUGUCUGAUACUGAGAAUUGCAUUGCAAAGAAGUCAUUCUCAACAUGAAGAUGGGUGUGAAUUGUUCAACUGUACUCUGUUUAUAUGCUUUUUUGGGCCUAAUAUUGAGUGUUGAAGGAAACUUGCUUCUCUCCUCAUGAGCGAAAAAAAUUUUGUUCCGGCACAUUAAGAUUUUGUUAGUGGUGGAAGUAGUUUGCAGAAAAUACAGCGGAGAAACAUGUAUUUAUCCAUUUUAAGAAAUGCAAGGGGACUUGUUGUAUUAGUUCACCCCUUUUGAGUAAAGGUUCCACCUCAUAAACUACCCUUUUUCCUUUGUUUCGAUCAGGAAAAUUGAAGACAAUUUGACUGCUGAAUGUGGCAUUCUUUUCUGCUGUAUGAAGAACUUGAUAUACCUGUGUAGAUUUAGCUCUAUUUUGAAAAGCUUGAUGUGGCUGUAUAAUUGGAAGUCCAAAGCCAAGGUUGGCCCUAGAAUCGAAUGUUAACACCUAGCCCAGUGGUCAGUCAGCUCCUCCAUUGCAAAGAGAAAGAGGAGAAGGAAGAAAUCACGGUAUGACCGUGAAAGCUGCCCAAAUCAACAUCAUGUGUCCCAAAAUCAUGCAAAGUGGAAAUUGCAAUUGCUAGGCAAACAUAAUUGGCCCGCGGCCUCGGCUCACAAGGAACAUGAUGCAUCAUGUUCAGCCAUGAGAUAGAACGUGAUUGUCUCCGGUCAUUUGCUUUGCUCCAUUAUUGCAUACGUGAUGUGAUGGCUGCCUUCGCAAUUAAUGUAACACUUUUUUUGUUUUAGGUAUUCAAAUGGUACAUUAUAAUUUUUUUAAAUAAUUAAAUAAUUAAUUCCUAAACAAUAAUCAUUCCAUCACUUUUUAAUUUUAUGAUACUAAAUUUAAUAUCACAUCAAUACAAUAAAUUAUCAUAUCAAUAUAAAUAGUGAAAAUUUUUACUACGUUAAUGAUUGGAUUGAUAUUAUUAAUUUUAAAAAAUAUAAAAAUUCAACUUUUACAAACUAUUAUAUAAAAAUUAAAUCUACUACUUUAACAACAUACAAGAACUAAUUACGUUAUUUGACGUUUUUUUACUCAUAUAUAAAUUGAGAUUAUAAAAAUAAAAAUAAUGCUUUCUUAUUUCAAGAUUCAAAAAUGAGAUUUUUAAAUCAUAAAUAUCUCGUUGAAAAUUAACAUUACAAAUUGACCCUAAUAUUUGUCCUUCUCUCUUGACUCAGAGUAAGGGUGGAUCCAUGUUGACACAAGUGAUGUCAUAUGACACCAUUGAAAUGUUAAAAAUUUAUACUAAUUACAUUACUUAUAUCAAAGUUUUUAUAUAAUUAAUAAUAUUAAUACACUUAUUAAUUAUUUUAAUUAUUAAUAUUAUUAUUUUAAUUAUGAUACUAUCCGCGUUUCUUACUGGAAAUGAGAGAAAUCUUUCGAAUACAGCAAAAGUUCUCAUAAUGAAACCCAGCCCCACGACCAUGACAGGUAUAAGCAAAACAACCCACUUGUCCGGCUCAUUUAGCUGAUUUAGACAGAAAGAGCGGACACCUGCCCUCCCUACGAGAUACCAACUGCUCAGAAUUCAGAACUUGUUCAAGAACUGACCUUCCCAGAACUUGCAAAACCCAGAUACUUACUGUCCCAAAAGACACAUGACCCUCUAAAAAUGUGACAAGUUGACUCUAUUGUUGGGGCAAUUAAAUGUUGCCCACUCCACCUGUCAGUAUAAAUACAAAGAGACAAACAACCACACUGAUUCCAUACUUAAAUUGGAUGGUAGCUUCAUAAUCAAGUGAAGGAUUUGUUUAAACCCUGCAACGAAAACACAGAAGAAAAAUGAUCUUAUUAUAGACUGAAAUUUUUGAAUUUGACCAAUGUGUAAGAUUGUCACAUAUUUAUUAAAUUAUAGUUAACAUAUCAAUAAAUUAAACUAAUUACUAAAUAGAUACGAACUAAAAUUUUCACUAUCAUCUAUCGAUGUAUCAAAAUAAUAAUUCAAAAUAUAAUAUCUCUAAUGAUUCAGUUAUACACACAACCAGACGGCAUUCCAUCGAAAAGGAAAAAUAAAGGAUAUGUUUUGUCCUAGAUAUGAACUAAUCUUAACAUUUCUUAUUUGGAUUCCAUGUGACAUAAGAUGAGUCAAAAUAAUUAUAUUACUUGGGAAAUUAAAUGCUUGGACUUUCUGAGACAGGACAUUGGAAUAAACCAAGAGGCUCAUGAGCUCUCGAGUCCUCCAUGAAUGAAUGGUUUGCAAAACGCCAAAUGUUUAGGUCCAGGCCAGCAGGCUGCCUGCUACCAUGGAACUCCUAUUUUGACUGCUUAAUAUAUUCUAUUUACUAUAAACUUUUUGCCAUUCAAAAAGUUCCUUAAGCUUGAAUGAGUUACAUCUUCUACAAUUUGGACAAUAAAAAUGAAUGUUCAGAAUUUCGAGUUUAGAAAGAGAUUAUCUCUUAUUACGUGAAUUCUAAUGGGUCUCGAUGUAUAAUUAAAUAUCACAUAGUUUUAAGUUACAAAUUUGAGCUUAAAAAAAUUAAUGAAAAGUUAAAGAGAGAAAAACAUUGGAAGAUGGGCAGAGUGAUGAUGAAGACUUUUGAUUAAUUAUUAGUUGAAAAAGUCCAAAAGAGUGAGGUCCCAGCAGGAGCGUACUGCUGGGGCAAGGAUAAUAUUGUUUUGCCAUUAUGCGUAUUGGCCUUAUAAUUUUCCCAAGUCACAAUCGUACGUCUCCUAACGCUAGUUCACUGCCAGCAUUGGAAGAUUGGAAGUUUCGCUGUCAGGGCCAUGGCUGCCUUUUCACUCAGCUGGCCGGUCUGAUAUUUUGUUAUUUAUUUCCCAAUUUUAUCUCUAUAUAUCUCACAUGUUAGAUUGAUUCCCCAUGAAGCUAAUGCUUGUAAGGGAUGCCAUACACGACUUUCUUCUUUAAGUAAAGCAUUAUCACAUAAAAAUAUGGGGAAAUGGUUGCUAUCUUCUUGUAUGUUUUGGUUGAGGCCCAAAUUAAGUUGAUAAUUACCUUUGUCUUAAUUUCAGAAUUAGUAAUGUUGGGAAAACAGAAAGAGAACAAUGGAUUGUUUUUGGAUGAAUUGUUGAAUGUCGGUAACUAUAAAUUUGUGAAAGUUGUAGUUGUGGAAUUAUAAAGGGCUCUAAAAGUCGUCCAAACUUAUUUAGUUACCAAUUAAUAUUAGUGGAACCCUACUUGACAAGAUGCUAUGAAUGACUUGCAAUUGUCUGGGUCUUAUACACUAAGUUGAACGCUGAGGUGCCCACAGAUUUAAGUCUAAAGCUAAAUUAGUCUAAAGCUAUGCUGAGUUUGGGGUCCACCCCAAAUUAGUAAAAAUUAGUAAAAACUCUCUAAAUAGACGAAAUCUGGCCUACUUUUAAUCUUUUUUAUAUGGUAGAAAUGUAUUAAGAGAGGGAAAAAAAAGAGAGAAAAACAUGAAUUUUUACAACAACUUAUUUAAAAAAAAUGAUGUUAUGAUAUUUAGAUCAUACGUACAUAAACGCAUAAAAUGACACUUUAAUGAUUAAAAUUAAAAAUUUUCAAUUCAAAUUCUAUGAUAAAAUUUAUAUUUUAUCAUAUGUAUAAAAUUUGAGAUAUAUAAAUUUAUAAUUUUAUAUGAUUACUCUUUAAUUACUUUUUUCACAAAAUUUUAAACCCAUCUCAAGAGAAGAUUAACUGUUUAUAUAAUCCUGAAUUAUAUGUGCUACAGAGGGUGCGGGUGAAACAAGAGCAGCGCAAUGAGAAGGCAAAAUUGAAGUAGACUUCUCUCUCUUAUAGAAAAGGAGGAGAAGCCACCGAACACGUGCUCAGUAAUUGGCUGUCCUUUCUCUCGUAAAUGACCCCAAUGCCACAUGCAAGUCUUUGCCCAAUUUUUGUUGUUUAACAAUCCCAAUAGUCCCCCAUGAUAGCAAUGGCCAAAGCGAUCAACGUCACCACUUGUAAUUCACAAAGGAGUUUACAUGCAUCGCCACCUCCAUUUUCGUCUUGCUUUUCCUCCCUGUACAAUUUUGGAGGUUGUAAAAAUCACUUCCUUUCAAGUACAAGGCGUGGAAGAUAAGUCUUUGCAAAUUUUUUAUUUCUUUGGUUUUUUGUACGAUGGAUAAGGUUUGCAUAAUUCUUUAAUUGCUCCUUUGCUACACUAUAGUUGGUUGUUGGCUUGUUGCUAAUCAUCCCUCUAAUCUUACAAAAAAUUAUUGAACACACAUCAUGAAAACUACGGAGUACGGACAAAUUUUCUUUAAUUUUUAACUUCAAGAAAGUUCACAUAUAUUAUAUAGAAAUUUUCUGUCAAAUCUUGAUACAUCACUCACUUAUGUAAAAAAAUUUGGUUAACUGACGGAGGUCUAUAGGCAUUGGCUGAAGAUAGUUUUAAAAAAAUUCAAUUAAUAUGAUAUUUUCGUCAGAUUCAUGAUGGAAAAUGCAUUAGUUAUAAUUUUUUUUUAAAAAAAAAUAUUACAUUAGUUGGUGCCAAGAGGAAUCUAUUACUAUUUUUCAUAAAAUUUUUGCUCUUAUAGUGACAUCUUAAAAAAAUUGAAUCACAUAGAAAUGUACUCCUUGUGGUACUGUCAAGUUCAGUGUUGACAAUUCAAUGAAGUGCAGCCCAAGAGAGACAGGAAUUGGUGACCGGCUUCACAAUUCAAUGAAAACCUAUUGGUUAUGUUGAUUCAAACCUUAUUGAGUUACUUGCUACUAUAGAAGUUUUUGUUAUUCUUGUUGUUUUUAAAUGAGACAAUUUUUAUCUUAAUUGAUUGAAAAUGAUUAAUCAAAUGCAGUUGACUGAAUGUUAAACUCCCAAACUUUUUUUUGGAGUCUAGAAAUUUUCUCCUACAAAUUAAAUAUUUAAAAUAUCAGAUGAAUAGUUGAAAAAUACAACAUAUUUUCUUAAUUGCAAGUAAAUUGACUGAUGGCUUAUUAUGACACUCUUCGUCAACAAAAGUUGUUGAUGGUGAUUAGUUAAAUUGUUGAUAUAUAUACGUAUUAGAAAUUUUUGUAAUUGUUUUGUUCUUAUUAAUUAUGUACUGGUUUGCUCCAAUACAUAUUAAUAAAGAAUCAUAUGCUUUUCCACACAAAAAAAAAAAAGGGUCAAUUACAAAAAUAUGUAUGAAUUAGGGUAAAUUACAUGCAUAAAGUUCUUGCAAAGUUAACAAGCAAAACAAAUGACUUUUUUGGAAACCUUUCAUUUAGAGAUGUAACUAUCAGCUAGAAAAUUCCAUAGUGACAUUCGAACAUCGUUAUCCUCUUCUCCAUUUCUUCUUUUAUUGAUCCGUUUGAUUAAAAUGUUUUGCAUGUGGCUAGGCAUGUAAGGUGAAAAGAAGGUUUGAACUGAUAUCACGAGAAUGUAGACAAAGUCUAUAUGGCCGUUUCGUCAUGUUGAAACUAGGGCUACGUUCUACAUUUUUUUAUUCCUAAGUAACUCUUUUGACAUGAGAAGGGUUGACAAAGCAUGCUGUUGAAAAUUGACAUGGAAGUAAUCGAUAAUUGAUAUUGAACAACUGUCGGUGAGAAACAAGGAAUAUUGUGAUAUAUAUAUAUAUACAUAUGGAGGAUCCUAUGACAAGGUAAAUUGUUAAUUUUCUUGCCCAAGGCCAAUGGUCAAGAAAACAAGUGUUUCUGUUGAUAUAGAAAGCCACUCACGUCAAUUCGUCCUUCAUUUUGUUUUUUUUUUUUGGGGUUAGUUUUCUGAUUAUUUUUAUUACAUAUAUAAAAGCAGCAAAACUCAUAAUUAAGAAGCACAAGCCGAGCAAUUAAUCUCUGAAAAUAGAUUUAAGGAUUUGUAUUUUCGUAUCUUAAUUUGUGUCUUAUAAAACAUAAAUUAUUAACAAUUAUAUAAAUAAAUACAAAUACAAAAUGAUUAAUUAAUUUUUUUAAUUUUUUUUAAAAUAUAUAUAUUAAAUUGUCAAAUUUUAAAUCAUAUCGAUACAAUUAAUACACAAAAUAAAAUUAAUUUAAUCAAAAUCCGUUUAAAUAUGUGUCAUGAACUUACGCAAAAUUGUCAAAGACUACCUAAAACCAUAAUGACAGCUCUCUCGCGUCAGGUUAACCACUAGAUUAGAAGAGGGUUCGCAUCAGAGACAAGUUAAUCCGUACAGGAAUUAGCUUCACAAAAAAACAUGCUUCAGUUCACAUUGCCACUCCUAGAAAGAGGAAAGCUAUGGAGAUGGUUGUUAAUUUCAUCAGAAGAUAAAACAAGUAAUUCGGGACAAAAUAUACAGAGAGAGAGAGAGAAUUCGGAUGAUAUAUGAAAUUUAAUAGUAAAAAAUAUUCCUUCUAAUUGAAAGACAUAAAUAGAUCAAGUAAAAGCGACAAUAGCUUAAUUCUCAAGAGCCCACAACGUGCAAGACCAAAUCUACAGAAGACAAAGACGUGACGAAGAUUUUCUCCAUGAUUUUUCAAUAAUUUCAAAUAUAGCUAUAAUUAGGGUGGAGUGACUGUUAACAGCCAUAGACUUUUUUUAAGCAAAUUUGACAAAAAUCAUAAAUGAAAAAAAUUUAAUUAGGCUUAACUUGCUGCCAGCUACUAGUUAUGAAUCACACGAAAGACUGACAGUGAUAUCAACUUUUUUUUUAAAAUAUAUAUUUUUUUUAAUUUUCAAGUUGGAUAAGUUUCGAAGUGUGACCAAGUGUCCAAACUUUGGCCAAAAGCCUUCACUUCGCUGGACUGUCGUUUUCCUUAUUUUGGCCUUGGGGUUGGUGGCAUGUUGAUCAUCGAAGCUUAAUUUUCAGGUCAAAAAAUGUGCAUACAUUCUCUCCUUGCCAGAUGCCCAUGUCCCAAAACUAUUAAUUAAUUCUCUAACAAAGGACAUUAUCCCUUUCUUUUGCCUUUUCUUUCUUAAUUUUGUUGUUUAAAGUAAACAUGACUUACCUAAUCAGUAAUCCUAGUCUACAUUGAGUUCCUGCUGAACUUACUGUACUUACGUGUUCACCGAGACAAAAGUCAAUUCAAAAGGCAAAAUAUUUUUAAAAAUUUAAAUAAAAUUUAAUUAUUUUAUUAUAUUUAAUUAAAAUUUUAUAUUUUUAUUUUAAAUUAAAUAAAUUUUUAUAAUUAACAGUUGAUUCAUUCUAACCCAUAAGAUAUAAAUGAUAAAUAAAUUUUAAUUACCAACCGUUCGUUAAUGUUAGUUAUAGGAAUUUUAUUGAUCGAUAAUAAAAAUAUAAAAAUUUAAUUGAAGAUAAUAAAAUAAUAAAAAUAAUUUAAAUUUUCAUAAAUGAUUUAAGAAUUUUUUUUAAAUAUUAUGUCUUAUCUUAAUGAAUUUUUUGUUGUGAAUUUAUAAGUUACCAAAAAAAUUGUAUAAAAAGUGCACUACAUUAAUAAGUAUCUAUUCCAUUUAAAUUUUAAUGACAUACAUUCAUAUAUCGUUUUAAAUGAUAUAAUAAUUCAAAGAAAAUGUAACAGAUCAAUCUCUUUAAUUAAUCAACACAAAAUUUUUUAUAUUAAAGGCUAGAUCCAGAAGGUCUUAAAAAAGGACAAUUUAAUGUCAAGAUUUUAAGGCAGAAUCAUAGAAAUCUUGAACGUGUAUAUCAAGAAAUAAAAAUCUAGCAAUACUUUUAAAACGUGCACCUCAUACAGCUGCCCAAUAUAAACCCUAUUUCUCGUAUUUAAAAACUUCACACAAAACCUCAAAUUUAUUUAUUUUUCUUUAUUUUUUGCUGUAAUCCAUGCUGAAGAUAUUAUUAUGCAUAUACUAAUAUAUUACCAGGAAUACAGCAUUGUCGGUCAUUAAACAAAAAAAAAAUUGAAGGGAUUAAAAGCCACCUCCCCCACAUUGCAAAGUGUAAUUAAUUGCAUGUACAAUUAAAAGAAGGACAAAUUGGGAAACAAUGAAUAAAACAAUAAACUUUAUAUUAUAUGGCCGAUUUAUUAGCUGUUAGCGGCGGCUGGCUCUUUUGGCUGGGCAUGCCAAUUAUGUGCAUCCAGUCAAUAUGAAAGGAAAUGGGAUCAAUACCCAUUAAUGAAUAAGGUAUCAACAUUUUUUUUAUGAUAAUUAAUUUGAUGCAUUUUUCUUUGGUUGUACUUGGAAAAUUGUUCUCUUCUGGCACGUUCUAGGAAAAACAGUAACCAUUGGAUUCAAAUUGGAUAAAUAAACUUUCUCUAAUCCCCACCAAAAUGUUGUUUAGGUUAGUGAUUUUAGAACAUAAUUAGGUUAAAUAUAAUACUAAAUUUUGUGAUGGAUGACACUUUAAAUUGCAAUCAAACUAAUUGAUUGAACUCGAAUUCCCUCUUCUCAAUCGAAAAAAUAAAUAAAUAAAAUAAAAAUGUGAUGCGAUGAAACGAAAUUAAUAAGUGUCAUUAAUCAAAGGCAAAAAUCGUAUCGAAGAUCACUGCCAUGCAUGUGAGUAGUCGUGGGGGACAAUGCUUAAUUGAUUUGAUGCUGAUAUGUCGAUCCAUCAAGGGCCAAUAAUAUUCCUUUGAAUUAUUAUUGUUUAAUGAUUGUUUUAAUUAAACGUUAAUUCAUCGAGAAAGCAAUAAACGUGGAGGGUCACAUAGUUUUGUCCUGUUUGUUUUACGAGAAAAUUUUUGCUGUCCUCUUAUAAGCACAUGAGUUUAAAUACUUGUUUGGAACAAAUGGGAAGACCCAAAACAGCUUCUUCCAUGUUUGCAUCGGCAUCAAUAAAUCAAGGAGGUUUAGCCUUAAUAGCUAAUAGACCAAUCAAAGAUACAUCAAAGACUAUAAACAGUUGAUAUGAUUAUUCAAAGACCAAAGCCAAUAAUUGUUUCUAUUGACAAAUAGCUCUCUUUCCAUGUAAACCAAUGAUUUCUACUUAAAUACAGCUCACGUAUACAUAGAAAACUAUGCAUCAAACGUUUAUUUUACAUCUUAAAUUGGAGAGAAUCUCUUUAUCAUCAAGUUGAUCUCAACCGUACACCAGUUGAGCUAAGCCUGAGGAUUAAUAAUUCUGCAGUGUCCUUGACUUCUGGAAGCUCAUGAUAAAUAAAAACAAAAAUCAUUCCAGAGCAUAGAAGCUGCCAGAAGAUGAUUCACACAGGGGCCGGUCACUUUGUAAAGUGCAAACAGUACGUCAUGAUGUAAUAAAAACCCCAAAAUUGCUUAGAACAAGAUGUGCAGAAAGGGCUAGAACUGAUUCAUGAUACAUUUUGCAGAAAGGAAAGAAAAAAGGGGGAAGAAGAACCCGACAGUGUUAGGUGAGGAUCACUUGAGUGUUUAAUUAUACAAGCUGUGCCAAGUGGCUACCCAAAAUUGAAAUGUUAGUGAGGAGAACUUAGAUGUAAGUGGUCCUUUGAUGACUUCAACAUGGAUAGUUACUAAAUUUUGUAGUCUUUCUUUAUAUUUGCCCCUUGGUUACUCCAUGAAUCCUACAUUAUAAGCAUUUGAAAAGGACAAGUUUUCCACCAUUUUAAUUCCUCCAUUCUACUGUUUUCUUUUUUUCCUCUUGUUUACUGUCUUCCACUAACCUAGCCUGUAUACCCUGUCUGUUCUUUCUAAUCCUUCCUCCAAAGGCAAUCAUAACAAAAAGUAGAAGCAAAAUUAUAUAAGAUAAUGUUUCCAUAUUCCUUUACCCUUUGGCCCCAACAACUCAACUCUACCUUUAACACACUCUGAAUUAGACUUUUCAAUGGUGUUACUUUACACGGCAUUGACUGUGUUAUAGAAAAACAGGGGAGAUAUGAUCUUAGGAUAUGAAAAAAAUGGCUUGAUUUGCUUCUCUCUCUUUUUUUCUUUUAUUUGUUCUCGACAAAGGGGGAUUUUAUUUAUGAAUGACAUGACUGACUUGAUCUAGAUUUGUGUCCUAACCACAUUACUUUAAAAAAAAAUUAGGCUUAAUUACUGUGACAGAGCAUUAAUUGUCCAAUUUCUUCAUUAUCAUAUUGAUCACAAUCUGACAGCUAAUUUAUGCAACAAUUAAAACUAGUUGAGAGUACCCUGAGAAGUUGACUUUCAGGCUCAUGAGGCCUGCAUUUUUCACAAUCUAGAUAGAAAUUAAGAAAAAAAAAAUUGGAGAUAUAUGGAGUAUUACAUAUAUGCUUUGUCUCAAAAUACAAGAAAUCGAUUAAUCUAUCUAUCAAAAAUGGAUUUGAAUUUGUCAAAAUACUGAUAUAAAUGACACUAAACACAAAACCCAGAAUAAAUUUAUGGAAUUGAAGUAAAUUUGAACAGGUUUUUGAGGGUGGUCCAAAAAGAGGAAGUAGCUGAUUAUAGGACAGCGGGGACAAGGCUGCUCGUGUUCUGAGAAACUUGAAUUAUUAUUUCUUGCACGAAAAUGAAAUUCAACUCAACAUAAAGUAUUAUUUCAUUUUUUUUCUCUCUCUCUCUUUUAACAACUUUUUUUUUUGUUUCUCUUUGGUGUGUAGCUUAAAUUUCCUGCAAAAGCUGCGGGGCCACCUGAUUCAAUUUCACAUGCCCCUGCGUCAUGAUUGAGAAAUCACAUGGAACAUGAGAAACCGAUAGAAAAAUUUAAAGCCUUCCAAUCAGUGAAUGGAGGGUGGGUAUAGACGUGCCAUUGUUUGCCAUAAACGUGCAUGUUUUGAUGAAUAAAAAAAAUUAGCCAGAAAUUGCACCGAAACCAGAAAAAAAUUCUAGAUAAUAACAGAACAGGUGGCCUGAAUCAUAGCUCUUCUGUAAUUUACUUGCAUGGUAAUAUGAACUGUCCGUCUUCCGACUUCGAUCCCUAUAUUCUGCUUCGGAUUUAUAGAGUUUUGGGGUUUUAUACAUUUUUGUGAACAAGGAUUUGGUGACUUUUCUGACAUCAUUGUUGAAAUUUGAUAUUCAUCAGAGGUUAAAAACUGAAAAAGGAAUAUUGGAAGCUGUCCAUGUGCAUGAAGGUAGGAUUAGCCGUUGGAUAAUGAAGGAAUAGACAUGAUCAAAAGGGUAGGAAUGUGCCACGAUUUACCUCAGCAAAUUCGUGGUCAAGUCAGUAUAGAAUUCCAGGCCAUCGUAGGCAAAUAAGCAGCGGCAGCAGCAAGCAGCCCUCUUUUUUUUUUUUUUUUUUCUGUUUUUCUACAUUUACUUUUGUUUCGUUUUUUCGUCAAGUUGUUGGGGGAUUUUUGAAUUAUUCUAUGGCUCUUACUGUUCCUGAAAAGAUGGUGGAAAUGGGAAAUUAAUAGACAAGAAAGAAUUGAAAAUAGAGAGGUGGAAGUGUUAAAUAAAUGAGCCCAGGUAAAUAGUAAUUUGAAAGAUAAAAAGUUGUUUAUACUUACUAUUAUACGAUGUUACAUUAAAUGAGCAGUUGGAGAUUUGUUCUGGGGUGAUCAUGGGGGAGGAAUCCUGAUGAUCUAAACCAGAACCUGAAUAAAAAAUUGAUCUAAGCCAGCUACAGAAAACCCCAUUUGCUACAUUAAUCUAAUCAAUCAAUAUUGAAUUGGUCCCUUCUGACAGCUCCCCAUCAACGACUACUUUCUGCUAUAUAUAAUCUCCGUUUCAUGCAGGCUUUUAUCUCAGCCGACACCCACCAAAAACAAAACCACCUUCGCCCCCCUCCCUCCUUCCUUUUCUCUUCCGAACAGGGAAACUCCUGCACAUUGCCAGAGGGUGGUGUUCCUCAGUGAUCAUCGAUGACAGGUCCGCGGGCCGACCCGGUGAGGGGUCGGUUUUGGCCCCAAGUGUUAGUGGCCUUGGCCAUUGUUGUUGUUGCAAGCAAUGUAGGUUCAGUGUCUGCAGAUGCUUAUCCAUACUCAUCACCUCCUCCACCUUAUGAGUACAAGUCACCUCCACCGCCAUCUCCUUCUCCACCACCACCAUAUGAGUAUAAAUCUCCACCACCACCACCACCUUAUGAGUACAAGUCCCCACCUCCACCAUCUCCAUCACCACCUCCUCCAUACCACUACCACUCUCCACCACCACCAAAGCAUGAAGAAAAACCCCCGUACUACUACAAAUCUCCACCACCUCCAUCCCCAUCCCCACCUCCUCCAUACUAUUACGAGUCUCCACCACCACCAAAACAUGAAGAAAAACCACCAUACUACUACAAGUCUCCUCCACCUCCAUCUCCAUCACCACCUCCUCCAUACUACUACAAGUCUCCACCACCACCAAAACAUGAAGAAAAACCCCCAUACUACUACAAGUCUCCUCCACCUCCAGUAAAGCCUCCACCAAAACCAUAUUAUUAUAAAUCUCCUCCACCACCAUCUCCUUCACCACCUCCACCUUACUACUAUAAGUCUCCACCACCACCUUCACCAUCUCCUCGACCUCCUUACUACUACAAGUCUCCACCACCUCCUCCACAUUACGUCUCACCACCAUACUAUUAUAAAUCUCCACCACCACCAGCUAAAUCUCCUCCUUACUACUACAAUUCUCCCCCACCACCAGCUCCUUAUUACCCUGCCCCUCACCCUUAUCCCCACCACCAUCCACUCAUAGUCAAGGUGGUUGGUAAAGUUUACUGCUACAGAUGCUAUGACUGGGGAUAUCCAGUGAAGUCACACGACAAGAAACAUCUUAAAGGUAAAAUUCUUUCAACUUUCCCAAUUUUCUAGCACUAUCAAACCUUAGUUCAUUAUCAUUCACCACAAAAAAAAAAAGCAAAAACAUUUUAGAUCAUUCUUAUUUCACAUUUUCUUUUUCAUUAGCUGGACUUUCACUUUGUUAAUUUCAAAUUUUUGUAGCACUUUGUCAUCUGCUUUAGAAGUUAAAAUAAAGGUAGCAAGAUCUUUACAAUAUUUUAAUUUAGAAGACCUAAAUCUAACAAUUGAAAGGAAUCAGAAUAUAUUCUUGUGGUAACAAAUUUAAUUUAAAAAACUGAAUAGGCUAAGAAAGAAAACAAAGAUUUUCUUUGUUUCUUAAUUAUAUGUUAAUUUGUAUCUAAAUUAAAACAACCCUUUUCUAUGAUAUAUAUAAUAUUAUAGUUUUGUUGAUAAUAAUAUAGUAUAUUAUUUGGGUUAGCUCAAUUAAGGAAAGAGUAAAUGAAAUGAAUAUUUUAUAUUCAAACCAUAUACUUUUAUUAUUUAAAAAAUAGGCUUGGUUGAAUACAAGCUCUCUUUGCCCAUUUUGUUGUGCAGUAUAGAUUAAGUUGCAAUCUUGGAGGAAAAUAAAGUUGUCCUGAUUAAGGGUUGCACUAAUUACAAUUGGAAUUAACGUAUCAAAUGCCUUAUUGAAAGUUAAAAUAAAUAUAAUUAUAUUAAUUCAUGAAAAGACGAAAUUAGUUAUUAAAGUUAGUGAUGACUAAAGAUAAUUCAUUAUUUUGGUUGACUUUUUAACAACAAUUUGAUACUAAAAUGAUUUGGCUUUUAUUAUUGCACAUGGAACAGGUGCUGUUGUGGAAGUAACUUGCAAUGUCGGUGAAAAGAAGGUUAAGGCCUAUGGAAAAACCAAGAUCAAUGGAAAAUUCAGCAUCACGGUUGAAGGAUUUGACUAUGCCAAAUAUGGAGCCGAGGCAUGCAAGGCCAAGCUCCACGCUGCACCCACUGGUUCACCAUGCAACAUUCCCACCAGUCUACACGAGGGCAACACGGGUGCUGAGCUCAAGGUGAAGUCAAAGACCAAGUACGAGGUUGUGCUCAAGGCUAAGCCAUUUGCCUAUGCUCCAAAGACUCCUUACAAGGAGUGUGAAAAGCCGAAGCCAAAGCCGAAGCCUCCAACUCCUUACUACUAUACUUCUCCACCACCACCUACACCCGUUUAUAUCUAUAAAUCACCACCUCCUCCACCACCAACAUACGUCUACAAGUCACCACCACCUCCAUCCCACCCAUACAAGCCACCAACUGAGCCAUACAAACCACCACCAUACUACUACAAAUCUCCACCUCCACCAUCACCCUCCUACAUCUAUAAGUCACCACCCCCACCAACCCCCACUUACGUUUACAAAUCACCACCACCUCCAUCUCACCCAUACAAGCCACCAACUGAACCAUACAAACCACCACCAUACUACUACAAGUCCCCACCUCCACCAUCACCCACCUACGUCUACAAAUCACCACCACCUCCAUCUCACCCAUACAAGCCACCAACUGAGCCAUACAAACCACCACCAUACUACUACAAAUCUCCACCUCCACCAUCACCCACCUACGUCUACAAGUCACCACCCCCACCAACCCCUACUUACGUCUACAAAUCACCACCACCUCCAUCUCACCCAUACAAGCCACCAACUGAGCCACACAAACCACCACCAUACUACUACAAGUCACCACCUCCACCAUCGCCUACUUACAUCUACAAAUCACCACCACCUCCAUCUCACCCAUACAAGCCACCAACUGAGCCACACAAGCCACCACCAUACUACUACAAGUCACCACCUCCACCAUCGCCUACUUACAUCUACAAAUCACCACCACCUCCACCAUACUACUAUAAAUCCCCACCACCUCCAUCUCCAUCCCCACCUCCUCCAUACUAUUACGAGUCUCCACCACCACCAAAACACGAAGAAAAACCUCCAUACUACUACAAGUCUCCUCCACCUCCAUCUCCAUCCCCACCUCCUCCAUACUACUACAAGUCUCCACCACCUCCUCCACAUUACGUCUCACCACCAUACUAUUAUAAAUCUCCACCACCACCAUCGCCAUCUCCUCUUCCACCAUACUACUACAAAUCCCCGCCACCACCAGUCCAUUCUCCACCACCACCAUACUAUUACAAAUCUCCACCACCACCAUCGCCAUCUCCUCUUCCACCAUACUACUACAAAUCACCUCCACCUCCUUCACCCUCUCCCACACCCCCAUAUUAUUACAAGUCUCCACCACCACCAGUCCAUUCCCCUCCACCACCAUACUACUACAAAUCACCACCACCUCCAAUAAAGUCUCCAGCACCAGUCUACCACUACAACUCUCCUCCUCCACCAUCACCAUCUCCUCAUCCUCCAUAUUACUACAAAUCCCCACCACCUCCAUCUCCAUCACCAUUACCCCCAUAUUACUACAAAUCUCCUCCUCCACCGUCGCCAUCUCCUCUUCCACCCUAUUACUACAAAUCCCCACCACCACCAGUCCACUCUCCACCACCACCAUACUACUACAAGUCCCCACCACCACCAUCGCCAUCUCCUCUUCCACCAUACUACUACAAAUCCCCUCCACCUCCUUCACCCUCUCCUCCACCACCAUACUAUUACAAAUCACCACCACCUCCAGUAGAGGCUCCGGCACCAACCUAUCACUACAAAUCCCCACCACCACCAUACUACUACAACUCUCCCCCACCACCCCCAUAUUAUUACAAGUCCCCACCCCCACCUUCCCCAUCACCACCACCUCCCUACUACUACAAGUCUCCACCUCCACCUUCCCCGUCACCACCACAUCCUUACUAUUACAAAUCCCCACCUCCUCCCUCACCCUCACCCCUUCCCCCAUAUUACUACCACUCACCUCCCCCACCAGUGACAUCACCUCCACCUCCGGUCUACAUUUACGCUUCUCCUCCACCACCAACUCACUACUAGGCUCAGAAAGAUCAACCACAAAAUUACAUCGUUCAUGUAAGUAAUAGUUUAGUUAAACCUAUCAUUAUUAGUUAUCAUCCAACGAUUUAUUUCAUAUUCUAAUUACUUUUCUGCAUUUAAAUUUCAGGUUUUAGUUUCAGCAAAGGAAUAAAGCAAGGCACCGGGAAGGAGAGAUUUGGACAUCAAACAUUUCCACUUUCAAGUCCAUUCAAUAAAGGCCUGAACAUUUCAUUGGAGAGCUACAAUUUUGGUAAUCCAGGCCAGAUAACUUCCACUUCCCUGGUGGCCAUAUUACACAUGCUCUUAAUUUAUCAGAAGAGAGUGAGAGUGGUUUUCCCAGGGUGGCUGUUGUAGUUUGUUUGUUACUGUUCAAUUACCAAUUUAUUGGUUUCACCUAAUUUAUUUGUGUAUAGCAAAGUGGCCAUUGUAUGGUUAAGCGUUCUAUUUAUUGUGGGCAUGCAUUUGUUUCGUGGAUCUUGUUGUACUACGUGCACUGAGAUAGCAAUAAAGGAAGAUAUUCCUGUCACAAUGUUUCUCGCUCUAUUUUAAUUUCUCUUCCCUGAGAUCUCAAAUGCAAAUGUAAUCCCUUGCAGCAGCUUUUCUCUAAGCAUUUGGACCAAAUCUAGCUGUCUGUAGGUAGAGUGGGUCUUGUUUACAAGUUAUUUCUUUUUCAAGCAAAGGGAAUUCUUUAGUUGGGAAACGAGUAGUGCAAAAGAGGAGUAGCUUAAAACAAAAGCAUCCCUCUCUACUGACUUUCUCAUAUCACAAGGAUGCUUCGAUUUCCUCCAUUUGAGAAAAAUAAUUAAAUCGAGAAUUCCUCAGUUCAAUUCUUCCUUUCCAUCCCACGUAAAGGAAAGAAAAGAUUCCAAACAUAAAUUUAACCCUUUCAAGAUAAUAACCAUCAAGUUAAAUUUGGAGUGUUUUGAAAAAGAAAACGACUAUACAUGGAAGUAAAAUCACGAAAAAUUAUAUAAGAACGUACAUAUAACAUAUGGCACUUUCCUAGCUUCUUCCUACGACAGGACAUAUGCACUCAGCCCAGUCAUGGAGUCAUAAUGCCUUAUGCUGUCAGCCAGCAAAGCAUAUCUUUAUCCUAUCUAUCUCUCCAUCUCUGCACUCUAUAUUAAUUGUACUCCAACUCUAUUAAUUGUCUCUCAGUGGCUUGCAGCGUUUUUCCAUAUUGCUCUGCUUCUUCCAAUCUGUCUUCUCUCUGCAAAAGUGCCAGCUGACAAAAGAAAAAGGACAAAUAAUCUUCUGGUGGGGAUGAAGCUUUUGCAUGAUUUUCAUGUUCUAGAACUAGAACGAAACAUUCCCACUUUAAAUCAAUGGAAUGCACUCUUCUCAAUCCUGAUAAGCUCAACACAUCAGUAUCGUCUUUUUCAAUUUUUUUUUUCCCACUUUUCUCUCUCCCAAUGUGCUCCAUAGACUAUAGUUUAUACCUUUUAGAUGACUGUCAUUAAGCUCUUAUCUCUAUCAAUCAAUCUUUAGAAGAAAAAGGUAAUUACGGAUCAUUGAAAAUAAAUGCAUUAGGGUCCAUGGGAGCUGAGAGAUAUACUUUUCUUCAGUGGAAUAUUCCAUGCCGAAGCAUCUUAAUUUGGAGCUCACUAGCUAAUAAACUGUAGUGAUUGGGAGGGAGUAAUUAAGCAUCUUGAGUAAGGGUUACUCCAGUUUAAUUCUUAAUAAUACGGUUCAGGAAGAUCGUCGUUAUUCAGAAUUUAACUAUGAAUACCCCAAAUGGUAAGAAACAACCAAGAAACUUAUGGUUUCUACGGGCGGCUAACCUUGUUGGUCUGGACCACACAAACUGGGAUGAAAGGUAGGUCAAAGAUGCAUCGAUACCCUUUCGUCGUGUCACCAUGCACCGACACAUUGCUACUUCUUUACUUUGUUUUUUUUUUUAAUUUUUCUUUUUAUGCAGCCAAAAGAUUCGAUCUCAUGAUUACAGUAAAUUAAGAUUGGAGCACAAAGAGAUGAUACCCCCAUUCAUGCAGCAAUGAUAAUUACCAAAUGGCAAAAGAGAUAGCUAGCCUUCACGCAGUCCCAAACAAAAAGAAGUAGAGAAUCUCUUUGGUCUGAACGUGGAACAUGUCUUUUUUUAAUUUUUUUUGAAAAGCUUCAUUUCAUUGAUAUAGUGGAAGUAAUACAAGUUGAUGGAAACAAAAGGCCAUCUGAGCUGUAAACAAACGUUGAACAUGUCAUUGAUAUGAACACCUACGAUUCCUUUUUGAAGACAAUCAAAACGCCUCUCAAUAAACAAUUUACGCUCAUUAUUACGACACUAUCAUUUGCCCUAUUUAAUAUGACCAUAAUUUAUUAAUUUAAUUUGAAAGAAUUUUUUGUCAAUUAACGUUUCGACAGUAAUUUUCUAGAUUUUAUUGUCAGUAAUCUUUCUGUAUUAUAUACAAUUAAUAAUUAUAUACAACAAAUUUUCAAUGUAUUGGAUAAAAAUAUUAGUUUAUAUUAUAUGAGAUAACUUUAAAGAAUGAUUUUAGAGUGCUGGUUAACAAAGCCGCAUUUAAAAUUAAUUUUUAAAUAGAUUGGUAAAUCCAACCUUAGAUUAAUCCAAAAAAAUUAUUAUCAAAUAAUGUAAAACAAAUAGUUAGGAUACAACUGAUGAAACGAGUAACUUAACAGGCUGAGGAAUUAAUUAACAAUGCAUUCCUUUCAACUUCCUAAGGCUAGGGGGUGGAUAAGAUUUCCUUUCAUUAUAAUAAUUGCCUACUAGAAGCAUAUUUGAGGCCUCUUGUAGAGCUCUAAACCCCAUAAAUAAUGAACAUGAUGCAAGUUUUGGUGGAGGGGUUGGUGCAGUGCACCUUCUAAAAGAAGCUUCUUUUUCCUGUUUAUUGAUUUGUGUAUAUGGUUUCAGGAGGGGAAAAAGAAAAAAGAAAACCCAAAAGAAUUGGCCAAAGCCCAAGUGAAGCAGGUGAACCAGCUACUUGCAGCAGCUGGGAAGUCAUUGUCAUCAUUCAUCGGCUUACCUCUCAACCUCUCAUUGGAAGCUUACAAUGGACAAGUCAAAAGUUGAGAGUGUGAGAAAGAGAAAGAGAAAGAGAGAGAGAGAGUCCCCCCCAACCCCACAUGGAAAACGAUUCCUUCUCCCAUGGCAGCUGCUUUGAUAUAUUCCAUGGAGUGUCCAACUUGUUAUCGUAGAAAAAGGGUCCCAUCAUGGCAAAAUAAAGCCUCCUAAUGCUCACAAUGCUCCACCAGCAAUAAUGCAAAUUGUUUCUACUGAGUGAAGUACGAGCGAUGGCUCUCUUUCACUCUUUGUCCGUUAUCAGUUUAUUAUAUUACAACGUGAAAGGGGGAAUGGAUAAGUAGGGAUCCAAUGCACGACAAGUGGGAUCGCUUCAAUGGCAUGGAACUUUUCCGCAUCUCAUAUAAACAUAAAAUCAAGCCAAUAAUAUAGAUUUGUUUUUUGGGGUACAUAGUAAUCAAAUAAUCUAAUAACCUUUAACUUUAAGCUAAUAAUCAGAUAAAGUAGCCAUGUCUUUUGUUAGGCAAUCAUGAAAGUGGAUAUGCUAUUUUCUUGUCACGUAAUAAUCAUGGAAAAAACAUUGAUGUUACAUUUUGACGAUUUUGCCUUGCAUGUAGUGGCGCUUAGGCUUAUGCAAAACUCAUUUCUACAGAAAGAUUCUCAGCUGUGUCGGUGGGACUUUGGGUCUAUAUAUGUAUGCUCAAAUCAAUACAUGUGUUUCUUUUUGGUAAUAUUCGAUAAAAUUUAAAGUGAGAAGCAAGGGGGUUUGAAAUAUUUAGACUUUAAUUUUUUUAAAAAAAAGAAUAAUAAUUGUUAGUCAUUUUUUAAUUUUAAAAUAAAAUGGAUAUAUGAUUUUUCGGAUAUUAAAUUUAUCAUAAAUUUGAUUUUAAAAAAAUAAGUAUGUUAUAUUAUAUAUAUUUCACUUUUAUACACCUUUAUGUUAUAUAUUUUAAUCUAUCUAAGAUUUCUAUAUUUACGCAUAACAUAAUUUUGACGAAUGGAAUUUGCAUCUACAUGUAACUAUAAAAUUUGGUUGAGAAAAUAUUAUUAAAUAAUAUAAAAUUAUAAUUCAAAAAUUGUUAUUGUGAUUACUUUCGAUUUUACAUUUUUGUCGCAAUCAUGGUGCCGAAUUGGUCUAAACGAGUUAGUUGGAAUUCCCAAUGACAUUCUUGGACGUAGGAUUGGCUGGGUCCGAGUCCCAUUUUGCUUUGGGUUUGCCAGAAUUUGGGCUUCCCUGGCCCAAAUUAACUUUUGGGUUGUAGAAACCCCUUCCAUUUCCAUCGUAGAGCCUAAAAGAGAUUGGGCUAUAUCUCUCAAACUAUAGGUGAAAGAUAGCCCAUAACAUUUGGGCUUCUAUGAAGAAAAAAAGAAAGGGAAAGAAAAUUUCAAUAGGAGAUGCACAAUUUGCUUCUUCUCCAAUCUCUGCGAGAAAAACUACUUGUAAAACAAUAUUUCUUCUUUCGCUUCCUUUUCUCGAACUUUCUCUUCUGCCAGUUUUUAAAUUCGUUUCAAUCAAAAUCUAAAUCAAAAUCGUAUACUUCCGGGCCUUUUUUGGCUAAAAGAAGCUCUUUUUUCAUCUAAAUAAUUGGUUAAAUAGAAUUCUGAUCGGCCAUGGUACGUUCGCUCUUUACCCUUUUGUUUAAUUUUCUUAUUCAAAUUUUAUUUUACUAUCAGUUGCAUGAAAAAUUUCUUGUUAAUUAAGCUGAAUUAUUGUUAAAUUCAAAUAUAUGUGGUUUUUCAAUGCUAAUUUGGAUGUUUUAGCUUGUUCGUAAAAACUUUUAGGUAAUUCUGUUUCUUCGGGUCGUUAUUAAUUUAUUUGUUAUUGGCAAUGAUAUAGGAGUAUUGGUAACUCUUUCUGCCACAUACCAAGAUAUGGAUGUCUUGGACAUAAUUCAAGUUUCAAGUAAAAAUGAUCUGCUUCAACUUACUUACUUUUAGAAUCAAUAUGCAUUUGGGUUUUUGGUUUUGAAAGCAACCAAUGUCAUUUGAAAGGAUGGGUCUACUAGAGCUGGACUCUUUCCUCUGGAUCCUUUCAUGUAUCAAGUUUAGGUUGCAUCUUGCUUCAAUGCCUCUAUCUAGUACUCUUUUUCCUUACUUUGAUGUUUUAGGUUAUAAACAGUUCAUCAUAGGAUCCCGUAGCUUUUAUCUUCUUGAACGUUGGCUUCUUUAGCAUAUUUUUGGUUGUGAGAGAUUGCAGAGGAAAUGAAUUUAAAUUACUACAUAGUAUUAAACUUUAUGUUUCUUAUUGAUUUUAUUUCUAAGAAUUUAUUUCAAUCUCAAAUGGGUCAAGUUACAUUAUGGUUUGCUCAGUUGGGGUGCUUAGUUUUCCUAAACAACCAAAUUGAGGAUUUAAAUGAGUACCUUUUAGAAUAAUUAUGUUAGUAUCAUUAGUGUACAGAGAUAAAAAGAGACCAGUCAACACAAGUUCCUUGCUAGUUAUAGCUGUAACAUUCUGAAAUUCAAAGUGAUAAGAAUGUGAGAGAAUGUUUUGUAAUAAAAUGUCAAGAUAUUUAUUCCAAGCUAUGCUGUCUAAGUUGAGGAGAUGUAAGCAAUAUUCCUUCCAAUUCUUUGGCCUUAUUCGAUGAAUAUGUGGAUUGCUGCUAAGAAUUGGCCUGUUUAAACUUGAAAGUGCUGGAAGGAUAAGAUAGAGGUGAAAAGAUCAAAAGACCUUACAUUGAACCAUGAACUGCAACUUGUAGAUUAAAGAAUCUAUUCUGGAUUAAUUUAAACUGUUUACAAGGUUUAUGUAGUUUGCUGUUAGCUUUGUUGUGCUGUCUUGUGGUUCUUUGGUUUUGGUUCACUUUAGUGUUGUGCUAGUAUCUAGAUUUUAAGAAUUCUCAGAUUUAAAAUACUAUUUCUUGCUUGAUAAGACCAUAGAUCAAAGAGAGAGAAGGUUGUAAUGGUGUAUGUUGUCACACUUGCAUUUUGUUUGAGACUUUUUUACAUUGAUGGUAUUAUCAUUGUCAUAUCAAUAUAUCCUGUUAUGCAGGCUGCAAAGAUUCUUGCCAACUUAAUUGUAAUGGGCUCCGGUAUAUUGGCUCGUGCUGUUGUUCAGGCAUAUCGUCAAGCACUUGCAAGUUAGUUCAAUACUGCACUACUGUUAUUUCAUGUUUUUACUUUGCUUGAAAAGUAGGAGCUUGCUUUUAUUGAUUGUAAUGAAGAUAUGGUCUUAAAAAUAGUACAAUAGUGCGCUAUAAUCAUUGUAGCAGACUCCACUUAUUGGUAACUAGCUUUGUUUGUUGUUCUGUAUUUUGAAAUGCGCAUUGACUUUCUUCAAUCAUAAUGCCCCUUCUAUUUGAAAUUACACAGUUAUGGCUCUUGCAAUAAUAGAGUUUCAAGGUCAGGAUAGUGAAACGAGACAUGGAGCAAUUAGUACAAUGUGCACCAAGAAAGAGCAGAAAGAUAAAAAAGCUGAUCCUGGGGUCUAUGAUUAUUUACAUUCAACCUAAAUAUAUUUUGCAUUCAGCUCCUUUUGCUGACCAGAAAUAGGCUAAGAAAGUUUGAAUCUCAAAGUUAUGAAGGCUAAAAGCAUUUCAGGGUUAUUACAAUUUGAAAGUUGGACGAAUAAAUGUUUCUGAAGUUCUUUUUCUUAUCAAUUUAUUCUUUUGUUUAACUCUGUGCAGAAGUUCUUUUAAAAUUUUGGUUUUAUGACUUUAUGUUUAUGCAGUCAUGAUAAUGAGAGCUAAUAAUUAACUAAAUUGGUACUACUUGUUUUCUACAUUUUAUAUGAAUUUAUAUUAUUCACCAAUUUUUCAUGCCACCAUGUGCCACUGCAUUUAUGAAUUCAUAUUGUCUCCCUCUUCUCUCUGACAUAUACCUGUAUACAUCUGGUUUAGUAGUGAGCUAAAUAUUCUAGAUGUUGAUUUACUCAUGGUGAGAUCUUGUUGAAAGAAGUCAAAUUGGUUGAGUUCCAGAAUCAGCAUUCUAUUGUUAAUAAAAAAAUGGCAGUGUUGUGCCAAUACUUAAAUUAUCAGAAAUCUGCAACUGUAUCAGUUGAUCUCUGCUACUCUUGUGAUUGGUUCUUUUUUAUUUUUUAUUGCGACACUGUAACUAGCAUUUUAGGGAGAAAUAACAACAGCAAGAUGAUUAUAUUUAUCUAGUGGCAGGUUUUGUUUGCUUUAUAUGUAUCAAUGUUCUGAACAAUAAGUUUAUUGCAGAUGCUUCAAAAUCUGGUGUUGCCCAGGAGACACUACAAAAUGCUGCCCGCCGAGCUAGCAAAGUCAUGACCGAGCAAGAGGCUAGGCAGAUUCUUGGUGUAAGUGAGGAGACUGCUUGGGAGGAGAUAAUGAAGGCUAGUAUUUUUUGUGGAUCUUUUUUUUUUUUACAUUUUUCUCUGUUUCUGUUACUAUCACCUUGACAAGUUUUAAAACUUCUCCAUUACUUUAUUUCAGAAAUAUGACGUUUUAUUUGAGAGGAAUGCCAAGAACGGGAGCUUCUACCUUCAGUCGAAGGUUCAUAAGGCUAAGGAGUGCUUAGAGGCAGCCCAUCAAGGCAAAGGGGAGGGCACUCCUAGUUGAGAAUUUGUCGAGGUUUGCUCAUUGCACAUAGAGACACCUGUUUGUAUACUAAUUCUAGUCUCUGAAGAAUGGUCUAAAAGAUUUAAAUUGUAUGCAGCAGCUGUUCUACAUUUCGCUGCUCCUGGGUUCGAACGUUUAUGGAAAUUUUGUAUCAUCAAUGCUAAAGUAGUUGAGUGGUUGCGAACAACUAAAGAUUCUUAAAUCAUCUAUGCCGGCAAUGUAUCUUGAUCUAAGUGUUUGCAGUUGAUGUGCUGCAUGUUAGUUUAAUACACAGCGCGGAUUAGUUGUAAUACUAAUAAAGAAUGUGAGAAAUUACUUGUUAGUAUAUAAUAAGUUUAGUUUGAUUUAAGUAUUCAUCCACCCAACUUUUUUCUUCCAUAAUUUACGAGUAUCCUUCUUGUGAUAAUGAAACCAUCAUGAUUAUUUGACAUGCAAUCAUCAUCCCAUUGCAUUAAGCUGUCAAAAUAGUCCAAGAUUCCUACCCAAAAGCAACUUUGUCAGGGCUAAAUGGAAAACAAAAUUAAAACAGAUACCGAAAGAUGUAGCCUGAAGUCAAACUGGCUACAAUUGUUAACUGUUCAAGGGCCGUGGUUAGCAUAUUAAUCCUAGCUAGGUUUAGAAUUAUCCUGCUUGUUUCUUUUUGGAAAUUAAGAAAAGUUUUCUUUUAAGGGCAAAAGGAAAGAGAAAGACUUUAUGCCGCUUUGCCCUUUUCAUUAUUAUGGAACCCCCUUUUUGUAGCCAAUAUUGAGACAAUGAAAUGCAAACUCGACGGUGGUUACUCCCUCACUUUUGUCAUCUUUCUAUGCUUUGGUAGCGUCUCUUUCAUUCUUUGAUCAAUCCCUGCAGCAGAAACAAAAUAUUCCAUGUCAUAUAUUUUUCCUGUUUUCUUUUGGACAGAAGAAUCUGAAAAGAAGGGCAAAAUGACCAGUCUAGGUUUGCAUUCACUUCAAAAACUUCACCGGUGUGUGUACAGAUUAGGGCCACCACCCAGAAGUAGAGUAGUAGAAAGGAGCUUCCAAAUUUCCCAUUUGCAUGUUUCCUCUAAAGAGAGAAACGUUAAAGAUUAUGCAAUGCCUACAUUCUUAUAGCAAAAUAUUUUUAAAAAAAAUUUAUCAAAUUAUUUUUUAUUACAUUUAAUCAAAUUUUGAUAUUUUUAUACUAAAUCAAAUAAAAUAUUUUGAAUAAUGAUUAAUUAAUUAUUAUUUAAUUAUUUUAUAUAAAUAAUAUUGAUGUGAUAUAUUAACAUAUCAUAAUAAAUGAUAAUGUGACAUAACAUUAAUAUUUUUACUCUUCACAUGAGUGACAUGUUAGUAUUAUAUGAUUAUAAUAAAUGAUGAUGUGAUAUAACGAUAUGAUAUUUUUACUCUUUAUAUGAGUGUCAUGUUAGUAUCAUGUCAUCAUAAUAAAUAACAAUAUGGUAUUUUUACUCUUCAUAUGAGUGUCAUGUUAGUAUCAUGUGAUCAUAAUAAAUGAUGAUGUGACAUAAUGAUAUGAUAUUUUUACUCUUCAUAUUAGUGCUGUGUUAGUAUUAUGUGAUCUAAAAUGACAAAAUGAUAUUUUGACUAAUGAUGAUUAGUUAACUUUUAGUUAUAAAAAUUUAUUUGACUCAAAAUUAAAAAAAAAUAUUGAGAUUUGAUUUAACAUAAUAAAAGAAUAAAAAUUUAUUUAAAAUUUUUUAAAUAAUUGGAAAAUUUUCAAAUAUUAUGAUAUCAAAAUUGUUUGCCCGUGAAUAAAAUAAUAUUAAAUUUUAAAUUAUUUUCGCAUUAAUUUAAUUUUUUUUGACCCUUUCUAAAAUAAAGUGAAUUAUUUAAUUUUUUUGAUUAUAAGGUAAAAUAACAUUACUCUUUUCUUAAAUAUUCAAGAGACAAAAGAUAUUUGGAGAUUACAAAUUUCUUUCUCCUUAAUGUUCCAAAGUUAUACUUUAUAAAUAGUAUUUUAAUAAAUAUUUUCAAAAGAUUUGACAGAUACGUAUAUGGACUUAUAAUCUGUUCUCUUUUCAUUUUUUCCUUUAAUAAGAGGAUGCUAGGAAAUGGACCAGUAAGCGAACCUUCGACCGACCAACUUAUUGUCUUCCUGUCUAUUCCUUUUAAUCUUUUACUCCCUCACAAAUUCUAUAUUGCAAAGCACAACUAGUCAACUACUAAUCAAAGGUCAACAUUAGCUCUCCAUUCACAAAAAUACAAAACAAAACUCAAAAUAUAUACUUGCCAUUCAAUCUAAAUGGUUUCAUAUUUAUGGUUAGAUUUCAAGUACCUGAUUACGAUAUAAUGUCCGAAUUAAUGCUCUGAAUUUUCUUUACAACCUAUGGUGGUGGUAGGCGGAGGCAUAUUAUUAUCAAGGAAAGAAGUGAGGUCGCAUUAUAAGGGGAUAAAUAGGCCUCACUUUAAUUCAAGUAAUCUAUGCCUUUUUUUAAUAAUAGAAAGGCACUCAACGGAACUUGUAGCCAAGGCUAGGGUUCACUAAUUAUGCACCUGUCGUUUAUUAAUGCCUCCCCUCUUUUAAUUAGAAAAAUUGAUACAUGUCUUUAUUGUCAAGGACCAUACAAAUUUAUAAACCCACGAGUAUUUCCCUUCUCCAAGGAUUCGAAAGCAUAAGAAUAUCUUAAAUUUUAUCUUUUUAAUUUAAAGAUAAAUAAUAAUCCUCUGAUCAAGUAUUCAUAUAUAUAUAUAUAAACUUUUGCACAUUAAUUUAAAAGAUUAAUAUUUAUUAUCAUAUCUGUCACAUGAAUAUUUAUUUUUUUCUUUAUUUACAAAAUUCUGAAUGAAGUAAAUUAUAUUCUGAUAAAAAUGAUUCCAUACAGAUGUGACAUAUAAAUUUUAUUAUUAUUUAUUUAUUUUUAAUUAAUAAUUUAAAAGAAGUAAGGUGGAUUAAUGAUAAUGACGGUUGGGAAAAGGAGAUUAAAGUGACAAAAAAGCACUCCAAAGCAACUUCCCACUAUUAUUACAACUCAAAUGUGGAAGAAAAGCUUUGCAUUAUGAGAUCCCAAAAUAAAUAAUAUAUAAAUAAAAAAGUUUAAUAAGUUAAAAUAUAUAUAAAAAGGAAAAACAAUCCCUUAAUUUUCUGCGUGUAAGUUGCGCUGUCUUUUUUAUUCCAAUCUUUAAUUCUCUAAACCCCCGAAAAUAAAGAGAGAGAGAAAAAAAAAAAAAAACACAGCAACACAAACCAAACCAAAACAAAGGUACUUUCUCUCUCUCUCUCUCUCUCUUGCUGGUUUGGUAGCGUAAUAUUUCUUCAAGCACCAAAUUUUGCAUCGAUUUCUUGGGAGAGAGCUCAUAGCGCUAUUCCUCUCAUUUUCUUUGUUUUUUCCCUCUCUUCAGUUUUUUCUCUCUAACAGCGACGAUCGAUUUCAGAAAUUGAAAAUCUUUGCCUUUCAGAUCUGCGCUUUGAAUUUUGAUUCGAUCAGGUUCAGGUUCCAAUCUUUGUUUGGUUUCAUCCUCCAUCUUUUUCUCUCUAUCAAUCAGAUCUGAUACGUUUUGUUAUUUUUUUUAAUUGGGAAUUUCGUUGGAUUUCUCAUUUGUAGAUCUAAUUUUCAUUUCUCAAAAUUUAGCUCCAUUUGACCUCGUUUUGAUGAUUUUCCCUGUUUCUUUUAAUACGUAAUUGUUGUAAAAAAAAUUACUCUUUUUGAUUGAAUGGUUAGAGAUUUGUUUCUUAUUCUCAUAAAUGACAUGUAUAUGUGUUUGUCGAUGCUUUUCUUGCCAAGACUCAAUCGUACGAUUUGAAGAUGUAGGGAUCUAUCGAAAUACUUCUCGAAAGUUAUAGGAUUUUGAUCCCAAUUAGCUUCUUUUAAUGGUUAAAUUAAAUUUCUUCUCCAGUUUAUGCAUUAAAUAUUUAAAUCUGAAUUUCGUGUAACUGUAGUUAUAUGCAAAUUUAAUUUCAUUAUAUUGCCUGCAAAUGACCAUUAUUUUUUCUUUUGAAUUCUUUGACUUUUCUUGGUAACAUUCAAGCUUUAUCUGUUUCAGAUGAAUAUGUUUGAUUGCAUUUUAUAUAUUCCAUUGUGCUGUCUUAAACCGGUUCAAGAUCUAACCUUUCCUUAUUUUUCUUUGAUGUGACAGGGCUGCUUCAUUCUGAACGCAAGCAACCAUGAAGAAGGCCAUCGGUCAAACUGUUAGAGACCUGUAAGUGUAUUACUAGAUACUAAUUCCCCUAUACCCUCAUUGAAUUUGUUUUGUAUAUUUAAUACUAUAAAACAAUCUCUUGGUAGCAAACUUAUUCUAAAAAGACGAUGAUUGAAAUUUUGAUUGUUUUUUGUACAAUUUGUUUUAUUCCUGCAUCUUGGUAUUUGCUAUUACCAGCAGCUAAAUGAUUUUUUCUUCUUUGCUCUUGCAGCAAGAGAGAGGUGAAUAAGAAGGUGCUUAAAGUUCCUGGCAUAGAACAGAAGGUAAGAAUAUAUUUAGAAAGUUCACUGCUCAUUUGAGUGCAUAAAUUGUUUUGUAAGUGGUAGAUCUAUUGUCAGUAGUGGCUAGUAGAAUCAUGUUUGUUGUGGCUGACGGGAUCUAAUAAACUGUCUAAAACAUCGUUCUGAUUGAGAUGAUAUGUGAGAUCUUAAACUACCAGUGAUUCUGACUUCUAUCCACAUUUUAGUUGCAAAAAUUGAGGGCCUUUUAAUAUUAUUUAUUAAAGUGCUAUUGUGAUUCUAUACUGUUGCAUAUCCCAGUAAUGGAAUAGAAUUAGAGAGGCCAACAGAGGAAGAACAAGCAGUGCUUAGGGAGGCUGAAUUUUGUGGAAGGUGAAGAAAUGGUAUGAUAAAUGGAGUCCAGCAUGUGCACAUAUGCAAAUGGAGAAUUUUUUGGGUGAGUUGCGAAUGGAUAAUGCUGUUUGUCUGCAUUAUGGAGAGCAGAGAGGUGACGAUAAGGGGAAAAAAAUGCUCUUGUUUUCGAAAAACUGUAGAGGAAAAGUGCGAGAACUAAAUUGAAGUUAAUGAUGUCUUUGAAUUAGUAGCUUGAUGGGAUAUUUGUAUUAUAUGAUGGGUGGUUUCCUACUGGUAAGAGGGCUACAUAGUAAAUGUGUCAACCAUGCACGAUAAUGUAUGGAGUUGGACUAAUAAAGUUUCGACAAUUGGCUAAUUUGGUUUGGAAGAAGAGUUUGCUAAUCUCAACUUUUGAGCAUCCUGUGGUGUGUCCUGUCUGUUACAGCCAGUUUGAGCCUUUGAGUGAAAGUUUGGAAGCUCUUACGCACAGGGUACUAAAAGGACUGAUUCUUACAUUUGCUGAAGGGUCCCAACUUUUUCCGUGUAAAUAUCUUCUCAAGUUGGAUUAAGUGCCAUUGAUGCUGAUUGAGCUGAAUCUUGAUUGCAUAAAGUGGUUUCAAAAUUUUUUCUUUUUCAUUUUCUUACUUUGACAGGGGAGGGGAUUGCCGUUAUUGAAUUCUUGAACACCAACUAGCGCUAUUCAACAACUGCACAGUAACAAUACUACUUGUAAUACUAUUAUAAAAUUUAUUUAUCUGCAUGAAACAAUAUUCUUUUCUGUUCCUUUUGUCUUUCAGGUUCUUGAUGCUACUAGCAAUGAGCCCUGGGGUCCUCAUGGAUCGCUUCUUGCAGAUAUUGCAAUGGCUACACGAAACUAGUAAGCUUGAGAGAAAUUGUGCAUUAUUUUUAUCAUUUAUUUGUUACAGGAGAAGUCAUUUAUAAAAUAUCCAUGCAGUCAUGAAUAUCAGAUGAUCAUGGCAGUAAUCUGGAAACGUAUAAAUGACACUGGAAAGAAUUGGCGACAUGUCUACAAGGUCAGCAUUAUGUUGAGGGAUUAAUUGCAUUACAUGUGUUCUCAAUCUGUUCUCUCUUUUCCUUUACAAAUUUCGUGGAACUGUUCAAAUUUAUCCUUUGUCUAAAUCUCCAUCUUAACAUUUCAAUUGUCCUUUUGUUGUCACGUAGUACAUCUUUUUGGUACUAUAUUUUACUUUUUCUGCAGUUUCUCUGCAUAUAUUUACUUUCCUGCAUUUUACCCCUACAUUAAUUUAUACCAAUGAACUAAGGUAUAUGUCUUAUUGAGCUCCAGGCUCUGACUGUUUUGGAGUAUCUUGUUGCCCAUGGAUCGGAGCGUGUCAUAGAUGACAUAAGAGAACAUGCUUAUCAAAUAUCGGUAAUUGCUGUUUUUUGAUGCUAUUUGACAACUUUGCAUGUGGUGUUGAUGAUACAAUUUGCAGCUUACUGUAUUUAAAUACCGUGGUCUAAUAAAAUAUUUCUUCUCAUGUUGCAGACUUUGUCUGAUUUUCAAUAUAUUGACUCCAGUGGAAGGGACCAGGGUAACAAUGUCCGAAAGAAAUCUCAGAGCCUAGUGGUCUUAGUAAAUGAUAAAGAAAGAAUAAUCGAAGUAAGACAAAAGGCUGCAGCUAACAGGGACAAGUGAGUAAGCAGAAAUGCCUUCAUGUUGUAAUCUCCUUGCUGUGUUCAACUGUCUUUUCUAAUAAGUGUUUCAUAUCACCAGCAUUGGCAAAAUUUAUACUUAAUUUUGAUUCUAUGCAGUUUUCAACAUCACAUGUAGAUAAGCGUGCGUACAUUCAACUUGACAUGCAUGAGUGUUUCAGCUUGUCAAUUACAUUCGUGCAAGAGCAUGUACAUAUACACAUGCACUUUCUCUCACACUUGGUCAGAGAUAUACAUUUUGUGUUAUUGAAUGGGAUAGCUUGUUCCAUUGUUUGGGUAGAAAAGUCCAAGUUGUUAUUUGGUAUAUGUUGCUCGCAUAGCUGUUGAGAGACAUCCAUGUCUAGGGCAUUUCAGUUUUGGUUGGAGGCAUCUUUAAUAUAAAAAGUCUUGACUUAAGAUUGAUUAGAACUGUUUUUUCCUCCUAAGGUGCUGGUGUAUUUACACUGUUCUUGCCAUUAAGAGGAUUCUCUUGGGAUUUUUCUUGUUCAUCCUUUCACCAGUGGACAUCAAUUUUUUACUCUUUUAUGCCAAAUCUAGUGCCUUAUGGCAGGUUUUUGUCUAUUAGGCAUUUUUCUGAUAUGUAUCAUUGUGGACUAUAUCUGUCUUCCAUUUAUAAUUUUGAAUCUAUUUUCUGCAGCUGUGGUCCUAUAUCCCUAUUCUAAUAGAUAAUAUAGCUGAAAUACGGUGUUAAAAUUAUCUAUAAAUAAGUAUAUAUUAUAUAAUAUAUAAUAUUCUACCUUUUUCUAUUUGAGUUCCUUUUCUGUUAAGUACUGAUGGCAUUUCGUGCUCAUGAUCAUUUGACUGCACUUUUCUUGUCCCAUAGGUAAUGUGUUCAUAUAUUUUGCCUCUGAAAUUCCUUUUGGAUAUGAGAAUAUAAUUGAAUGGAAAUGUAGAAUUCUUCCACAAUGUCUAACUGUUUGUUCUACAGGUUUCGAAACACAUCAACGGGUGGAAUGUAUAGGCCAGGUUCAGGGGGAUACGGUGACAGAUAUGAUUAUGAUCGUUAUGGAAGCAGGGAAGAUGAUCAAAAUGGUUAUGGAAGAGACAGGGAAUAUGGCUAUAGAGAUGAUGAUCGGUAUGGCAGAUAUGGGGAUUCAAACAGUCGUGAUGGGGACCGUUAUGGCCGGGAUUAUGAAGACCGCUAUAGCAGAGAUGGUUAUAGGGAUGAUGACUACAGAGGUAGAAGUAGAAGCGUUGAUGAUUAUCAGUAUGGCACAAGAAGCAGGAGCUCUGAUAGAGACCGUGCUGUUGAUGACGAUGGUGCAUCAUCUCGGUAUGUUUACUUUUGAGCCCUUUAUUACUAUGUUCUUUUCGAGCAACAUAUUAAUAUUGUUCAUCCAUUUUUUUAACCUUAUCUCCUUGAUUUUAUGUUGAAGUUACUUUUUUUUUUGUUGGAUAUUAUGAAACAUCACCUAAUGGAAGGUGUGAAUAUUUAUAGGUACUUUUCCACUAGAUUGGAAACUUAAAUGUUGCAUUUACAUCUAACUUUCCAUGGAACUUUUUUACCACCAUGAGCUUUAGGGUGUUAGUUUGCUGAGUGAAAUGUCCAGAUUUUGUAUUUGUUUUGCUACUACCUUCAUGGGAUGCUUGACAUUGAGAAUGUAAUUAGCAUGACCAUCUUCUCUGCAGGGGCAGCGGAGCUAGAGGUGAUGAACAUUCUCAGGAUGGAAGGUAACCCUGAGUGGUUGCGUUCUCAACUUGUGUUAGUUGGUCAGUUGUUAUUAGACAAGAAUUAUUUCUUUCUUGUUACUAAUAAUUUUCUGAAAAUCAUAUUUGUGCAGGCGGCUUGAGCGGAGGUUUUCUGAACAAAAUAUUGGUGCUCCUCCUAAUUAUGAAGAAGCAGUUAGUGAAUCUCGGAGUCCUGUUCAUAGUGAAAGGUAUUUUUUUAUUCCUUAAAUUUUCAGUGGCAUGUUGCUUUAAGUUGUGUUUUUCUAGUUGGUGCAUACUGAAAAGAUCUUUGAUGAUAGGGAUGGAGAAACUUCAGUAGCAGCUGCUCCUAGAGCUUCAUCUCCUCCUGCUAGCAACAAUCCUAACCAAGCAGCCUCUGAUUUUGGUAAUUCAAUGUCUCCUGCAAAUCAAGUGGUGGAGGCUUUUGAUGAAUUUGAUCCACGUGGGUCAGUGUCAGGUACAAAUUUCCUUUAUAAAUUCCAUGCUUUGGAUGCUUUUAAUGGCUUUGUCUGGGUGAUUAUAGUUGUCUUUUAUAAGGAAUAUGUUGCCCUUAUUGCUUGUCCAGUAUGAAAAUUAGUUGAUGUGGUGGUCUCUUUUGACUUGAACAAUCACCCUGCAAAAUGUUAAUUUUUCAGUCAUCCAAGUAUGGUGUUUGAUAUGCUCUGUUACUUCACAUUCCAUUUCAUUUAUUUCGUUUCACAUGGUAGGUUUUAGUGUAUUCUUUUUAUCUGUAAAAUUUAUCACAUGUUUCUUGUGGAAUAUAUUUUAUCACUUAUAUAUUGAUAGUCAUUUCCGGGAGCCAAACUUUGCAGUUGGUUAUAUACUAGCAAUGACUUUAAAUUAUUGUGCCUGACAUGAUUGGUCAGGCUGCCUUAAAACGGAAAAGUCUGUUUCAGCAACAUUUUUUAAUUUUUCUUUUUUGCUCGCUUUCAAUGAUUACUGGUAUCAUUUAUAUAAGUGAUUGGAGUUUCAUGUGAUUGUGUGGAAUAAAACUCCUAGUUUUGAGGAGCUUAGAUUGGAUUCUUAUUGAUGCUAUUAUUGUUUAUCCAUUAUGACUGGAACUCAUUUUUCAUCUUUUGCUGCAUCUAUUAAAGCUGCCCCUACUACUGCUCCUGCUGCUACAGCCACUCCUGCUACUGCUGUUCCCACUGCCACGAUGAGUGCUGAAAUAGACUUACUCGGCGUGCUUUCAGAUUCAUUGGCCAUUGUGCCAACUACACCUGCCACCCCUUCUGGUGAGGCUGAUGCCCUUGAAAACUCUGGUGCUAUACCCAACUUUGCUGCUAAUCAAUCGGCAUCUAACUUUGAAAAUCAGGUAGACAUUAUUUGUUUAAUUGAGGGACUUUUUAUAGUCCAUACUCCUUGGUUCAUGUACAUGGAUUUCAUUGCACCUGUUUACAAUAUGCCUAUUGAUGGCACCAUCAAUGUGGAUACACUGUUCUAAUGUCUCCUUAUGUGUUUUCAUUUGUUUUAAGUAUAUUUAAAAAUUUAUGUAAAACAGCAUGGAUAGUUAAGAAUGAAGCAAUUUUGUGGAACCACUGAGUUUACUGUGUACUUAAUGUAGAAACAGUAACAUGAAAUGUUUUAGGGUGAAUUUCAAAAAAUAUGUAGGUGAAAUUUUUUUUAUUGUUGUAUUAUUGAAUGUUCCUUGGUGUUAAUUUUUUUUACUAACUGAUUAUGGAUAUAAUCAUCUGUCUUCUUUCGCUUUAUUUCCUCCUCCCACCCCACCCCCCCCCCCCCCCCAUCCUCUCUCUCUCUCUCUCUCUCUCUCUCUCUUACCCCUCUGAACUUUGUCUUUAAUUAAUUUGUUGCCAUAAUUCUAUUGCUAUGGGAUAAGUUAGUUUUGUCCUUGAUACAGGGCUUUGAUGAUCCAUUUGGUGAUGGUCCUUUUAAAGCUUUCCCUUCAACUGAUGCUACCCCAGCUCUGCAACAAACUUCAACUGCCAUGCCUACCUUCCAGCCUACCAUGAACCAAAACGCAGAAAUUCCUCAGCCACCUUCUGUGAAUCCUGAGACAGUUGCAGACUUCAACUUUGGGGAUUCAUUUUCUGCCAAUGCUUACUCUCCACCCACUGUCUCCAGUGCUCAAUCUCCAGCAAACUCCCAGUUUUUGCCUCAAGAACUGUCAACUCCAAAUCAGGAAAGUGAUAUAUUGGCAGAUAUCCUUCCACCGUCUGAACAUGCAGAUGGUGUAGCGGCACAGGCAGCCUUUUCAGCACCAACUAGCCACUCAGUUCCACCAGUUGCUACAUAUGGCCAAUCAACACAGCCAGGUGCUAAUAUCUAUGGUCAGCAGGCACAAUCAGGUGCUAAUAUCUACAGCCAAUCCGGACAGCCAAGUGCUAAUCCUUAUGUUCAACCCGGACAGCCAAGUGCUAAUCCUUAUGGCCAACAGGCACAGCCAAGCGCUAAUCCAUAUGGCCAAUCUGUGCAGCCAAGCGUUAAUCCAUAUGGCCAAUCUGCACAGCCAAGCGCUAAUCCAUAUGGCCAACCUUCACAACCAAGUGCUAAUCCUUAUGGCCAACCCACACAACCAAGUUCAAAUAAUACAUAUGGUAAUUUUAACCAACAGACAGUGUCUAUGCCCCCUCAAAGUGCAGGAUCUGCUGCACUGAGCAGGAAUGGGAGCUUAAUCUCUCAGACAGGUUCUAACAUUCCUGUCAGUUCACACAUGGCUGCCCAACCUCAAAACCCUGCUGGACCGGCUGCACAGUUUAACACUGGAAAUUUCCUUUCACAGCAGGGUUCAGUCGUGCCAGUUACUUCACAGAUUACUCAACAAGCCACAAAUGCACCAGUUGCACAAAGUAACAAUGAUGUCCUAGGUGGCUUAUUCUCACAACCAGGAAUAAACACUUCAAUGGUACCACAGACUGGUAGUCCCUCUUCAACAGGAGCACUUUCUAUAGUUCCACAACCAUCAAAGGACAAAUUUGAGCCUAAGUCAGCGGUUUGGGCUGAUACAUUGAGUAGAGGACUGGUCAAUUUGAAUAUAUCUGGACGUAAGUACUCACUUUUCCCCUAGUAAAAAAGGUCAUGAAGUCUGUACCUUUUCCACAAGAAUUAACUUUAUUUUAUUUUCUGUACACAGCUAAAAUAAACCCAUUGGCUGAUAUUGGAAUUGACUUUGAUGCUAUCAAUCGGAAGGAAAGGAGGAUGGAAAAGCCUGCUCCGACUGCAGUGACAUCUACUGUCACCAUGGGUAAAGCUAUGGGAUCGGGGUCUGGGAUUGGUCGUGCUGGUGCUAGCGCUCUCAGACCUCCACCAAAUCCUAUGAUGGGUUCUGGCAUGGGCAUGGGCAUGGGUAUGGGCAUGGGGAUGGGAAUGGGAAUGAGCGGCGGUCCUGUUGGUGGCAUGGGUGUAGGAGGUUAUGGUGGUAUGAAUCAACAACCUAUGGGCAUGGGAAUGGGGAUGAACAACAUGGGCAUGAAUCCAGGCAUGGGGAUGAAUAUGGGAAUGGGGCAAGGGGUCCAAAUGCAACCCCAAACUGGAAUGCCUGGCAGUUAUAACCCUGUGAUGGGUUCAGGGGGCUAUUCUCAACAGCCAUAUGGUGGUGGUUACCGAUGAGAUUGGGGUGCCUCCCCAUACAAAUGAGGGAAGUUAUUAUAUGCUUCGGAUAUACAGAGUAAAAGAGAUUGGAAUAGCAAACCCGGUGUCCCUGUCGAAUCCAUGAGUCAACGAUGUAAUUUUGUAGUCACAAUUCUCUUGGCAGUGGCCUGAUGCCAGCCCAUGUUUAUUCAUUUCUAUUAUUUCUCAUUCUUGCUUAAGCUAUUGCACACAUUUGGGGCCACGGGAGUCUUUUGCUUCAUUGCUGGUUUGAGCUGUUGUGAAAUUGUGUAGCAGAGAGGACGACCUUUCACAGGUUGCCAUUUUCUCAUUCUUCCAUAGAAUAUAUACAUAUUUUUUGCACCUGUUUGAGUAUUUGUAGUAUGUCUGGCUACACUAUGAAACAAUAAAUCUAAUCAUUCAUUUUUUUUCCCCAUCAUUUAGUUUCCCGUCAGCAACAGUAGUAAUUUCAGUAUAUUCACAAGGAAGAAGCAGAGGAGUGAAUCAGUUGGACACUUCUAUCAACACUGCCUGUUAGAAAAGCAAGUUUGAUUAUGGAUGUGAUCCGAUCCGAUAGGAUAAGAAGUUAUAUAUUUUAAGUAUCGAAGUUAGCACGGCAUUUCUUGGUUUAAGACGGUGAAGUCAUAUAUUUCUUAGAAUUACAGUCAAUGUGAAGAACUUACACAUUAUAAAUGAUUAAGCUUCCACCUAAUAAUGUAAGGUUGAAGAUUAGUCUGGAAUGGAGAACAUUUUCAUGUUUUGUAGUUUCAGUUGAAACCACCAGCGCCAGCCUUGCCAGCAGUAAGUUUUUGCCAUGGAAAGAGUUUCAUGCAGGUCAGGAGUAGGUGCACUAAGUUCUUGCCACAACCAAAUCAAACCAACACGGUUAUGAGGGCAAAGCUUAACAAUAUAUUAGAUUUUUGGUAAGGAGGAACUUGCAUCUAACUUAUAUGUAAAACACUAUGCUACAGUUAACAAAAUAUUUGAAUUAACACCAUAAUUUUCCCUUAUACAGACUGUUAUGAUAGCAUCAGGCUGAACAAGAGACACAGAAUUGUCACAAGAAAUGCAAAAAGCUUGAUUUUGAAAAACUCCAUGAGAGAGGAAUGCAAUGUCCUCAGAACUUCCCUUCUGAUGGUAUAAAUAAAUUAUGGUUUGAUCAGUUUGUUCAACAUAGGCUUGCAGAGUAUGAUUUCUGUGGCCUGGUUCUAACAAAGUAACGUAUAAAAGAAACUAGAACACACUUCGGAACUCUUAAGGAAGCCUUAACCUGGGGUUAGUGUUGCAAUACAAAUCCAAUGGACCUCCCCUUGCUACCUUCACGAUCACAUCUCCAAAUUUUCAGAUGUAACAAAAAAUCUACCUGUUAAAAAAGAAGCUCAAGUGUCAAUAGCAAAUAUGCCAAGAUAGUACAGCCAGGGUAUCUGUUGAAUAAUUCUGACAAAACUAUCUAUCAAAGCUUCAUAAAGCCUCAAAUCAUUUUGUGAACAUGUAACAAUAAUGUGGUGAUGGUGGAGGUGUUGUUUUAGCCAUAAUUAGGUGGUAUUCUUUAAAUGGGAUUAUUAUAUAAGCCUUUCUCUUCUAUCUGAAUCUAGACUUUCAGGCCUAACAAGCGAUUAGAGCAUCUUAGAAUUGAAAGUUCUCUUUUAAAGAAACCUAAAAGGUACCUUUAACUGUAGAAUCUUGAAAGUUCAAUUACAAUGGGAUCAUUCAAGAAAGACUUGAAUCCUGUCACCCAUUGUAUCAUUAAAAUCCAAUAGCAGCUUCCCCCCUACUUCCUCAGCAGCAUCAUCCAACAAUGCCUUGAUGUUUACACCCCCCAAAGCUGUGCAGAAAAGAGAUCAAACUCUUUACAGUAAUUUUCUCAAGAACUCAUCUGAAAAGAUAGUAAUUGUAAAUAUGUAAAACAACAACAUACCUGGAACAAUGUUUGUGACUCCUUCCAAAAACCCAGCCUGUGGGAAAAGGGAGAAGGUAAAAGGAAAGAUGAUAGUCAUUUCCAUAAAAAGAUACUUUAAUUAGACAUGAUGAUGACACCUGAUAUGGAAUGUUCUAAAACUGAUCAGAACAAAGGCCUAUUUCUAAAUGUAAAUAUCAAAGACCAAAGCACUGCCACGAAAGGUAGUACAGCCUAAUACUAUUCACAUGGAAUUCAGAUUUACCUGUAUGCAAAUAUAUCAGGAUAUGCGGAUGAAUUGGUGCUCAAACAUUAUGUCCUUUCCAAAGUUUCAGAAACAUUGGAAAUAUGUUUUGAAGAUCUUUGCAAAAGAUGAAACUGGUAAGGGUUAUACUUAUAUAUACCCAGGCCUACUGGGCAACAAAUAAAGAGAAGAAAAGCAAAUUGCAAUGUUAUCAAUCAGUAUCAACAGCAGCUUUAAGUGACAAGUCAGCAUCUUUUUAGCAUAUUGAUACAUAUCAUUUCACUAUCUGUAGCUAUAAAUGUGUGUUAAAUUCAUAGAUUGAACAGUAUUUCCUUCACAUUCUUCGGUAAAAGAUCCAACUAAAACAUACUUAUCAACUAAACAUGGUGCAUUACAGGAUUUUUUUUUUCAAUUAUCAAAUUAUUUAACUAGUAGAAGAAUAACUUUGUAAUGCAUUAAGAUUCACUAAAGUGUUCAUGCCAACUAAACAGCUGGGAUUAUCUAAUCCUUCUUGCAUGCUACACAACCCAAAUAAAUUUUGACAUAUAAAAGCAGCACUUAAUUUCAGGAAAUUAUGAUUGCGGUUAUGGCAUGUUUAGUUUGAAUCAUAAACCAGCAUUUUUAACGUCAACUGAAAGACAAGCAACCGAAUUAACAUGGUAUCUAUCCUCAAAGCAGAAGACUUACAGGAAUUCUAACAUCAAGUUUCUCAAAUCCAUCUCUUCCAGUAAUCUUGAUUCUCAACGUCCGAGACCAGAUCCCAGAAAAAGGACCCCUUGAACCAUCUGCACCAUAGUUAUUGUAUACAUCAGGAGUUAUCACCUCGACAACUGGAUCUUGAGGACUUUGACCUCUUUGUUCCGAGUCAUCUUGAACCCUUUGUAUACUGUAUGCAUUACUGCUCACUGACACAUAAACCAUGUUUUUUGGAUUAGGAAGACAAGACAACAAUUUUGCAUUAUUCUCAAAAAUGACUCUGGGCUUAAUUUGGGAGACAGAAUUGGCCAUCCUGAACCAAGAAUUUAGUUAAAAUUAAGUAAAACUACAAGUCAUAGCAUCAAAGAAGGUAGAACAAGUACAAAAGUCUAUAGCCCAUUUUUUUUUAAUUUUAUAAAAACAAAUAAAAGAACAAGUUCUGAAUGAAAGUUUUUUAGGCUAUAGAACCAAUUCUGGUCAUUGCAAUUUUAGCUCAAUGAUAUUAAAAAAAAGGAACAAACUUCACAUGAAAGAUGGGAGAGACUGAAGCAUGAUGGACAUUUUGCUCAAGAAAGGAGUUUUCACUCAAGUUUAGAGAACUAAAUCUCACCCACCUCUGUCUGAAUAUAGCUGAUAGGUGCUGGUAGCAUAUCUUUUUUCUUCCUCAUAGUAAUUAUUGAAACCUAAGAUUUCCUUGAUUUCGUCAAAAGAUGGCAUGCUUCCAGGAGGGGGGAUACGACCUCCUUUCAGGGCAGUUAGUGAAUCCUGCAAAUUUAUAGAGGUUGACAUUUGAGAACCAACACUGUAUUAACAAUCAAAUUGUGAAAGCAUGUGAAGCAUCGCUAAAUAUCCAUAUUGUGGGCAUCACAACAUUAGACCUUAAAAUUUUCCAGGCUUGAAAUAAUGGCUAUAUUCAGACUAGAAAUCAAAAUCAUACAUUGAAGCAGUACUUAAGUGCCAAGAACAGUAAUAUCUUUUUCAUAAGAAAAUGUAGAAGUUUCACAUUCACAGACAUCAAGAAAAGACCAAAAGACAAACUGAAUUAGGUUUCAAGGCACCUUGAACUGGAAAAUGCAGUUUAGCACAUAUUAUUAAAUGGUGAAAAUUAUCAAACCCCUUGAAAACACCACUAAAUGGUGUUUUGAAGUGAUAUAGUCAUCUUUUUCUCCCCUUCUUUCUGACUAAAGAAAAAUAUAUCUCCCUCAGGUCUAUCACCGGUCUUCCAUCUAUCUUAAAGGCUUCUCUUUGACUUUUUAGUGGUAUUAAGCAAAAGUACACACAUUUGUUUCGCAUCAGCCUGCUAAUUCAAAUUACCUGUAGCUUUCAGCCCUUUGCGUUACUUUUUUCACCAAUAUUUCUUCUGAAUUUUUAUGAAUGAGGGUUUAGCCUCCUUAGAGUGAAGAUAUUGGCCCUAACUAAAACUAACAUAUGUUAAUUCAACUCAUCUCAAGUUGUCAGCUUAUGCCAGCAAGACAGCUACAGAUAUUAACUAGCAACUGUAGACUCAACUUGAGUUAAAAAUUAUCAAAAUACCAGAUCAAUAUGUCAAAUCUUGCACCAAGAAUGUCAUUACCAUGCAUACUUGGUUAAGCUUAAAACAAAAUAAAUUCUAUUUAAUAUCAGAAGACAAUGAGCUCAUCUUCAUAUUAUCAAAGUACCCCAACACAGUGCCUGAAGCGUAAAAUAAUAUAAGAGUCAGAUCAUGUUAUGCAACUGCUUGUGUUUCUCCAUAAUCUGUGCAAUGGCAAGAAUCAAACCAUAGCAUUUGGUUUUCUUUUUGGUAGUUAAGCAGACUGCAUCAUGUCAGAUAAGUGUCAAAAGAGUGACAAGUGAGCUUUCAUACAUAUCAAGUGAAGAAAAUGAAGAUAUUGACCUGCAUUGCUCGUAUAGACACCCCAAUCAAGGAAAGUGGAUAUGCUACAAGUUUAUAUCCAAUUUCCUCAAGUUCAAGCGGAUUGAGUAUUGGUGUUUUCCCCCCACCUUCAAGCAUAUUAGCCUACACAGGAGCAUAAAAGCUACAUAAGUCAUUGAUGAUGGUUGAGAAUUGUCUGGAAAGGAAGCAGAGAACAAGUGCCUGUCCCAACAAGUUUGAGAAAUAGAAUAAAGAUGGGAAAAUUCUCAUACGGCAGAUCCCAUGCUAGUGACAAAUUCCCUAUAUAUACAUGUUGGAAAGCCAAUCAAGAUGUUUAAAUUUUCAAAUAAUGAAGCAACAGGAGAAAGCUACUGGCCUACUGCUGAAUAAAUAUUAUGUUUCCUCUGAAUUCUGUUUUAUAUGCAAUAAACUGUGUGUAUGUGAGAUUUUGGAGGAGGGGUGAGAGUUGCUACAAUCAUGCAAUAUAGUGUGUAAGAUGCUUAUUACUUGGUAUUACAUAAGGAACAUACCAUACCAUUUUUGGAACUAAUGGAGAAACUUCACAGAAGGCUUUCAUCUCUUCUUUAGAGGCUAGAGCAUCAAUAAAAAGGACAUCUGCUCCAGCAUCAGCAAAAGCCCUUGAUCUCCAAAGUGACUCCUCUAAAGACAGUGCUUGACGAGAAUCUGUUCGUGCCACAAUAACAAUGUCAGAACCACUCUCUUUGCGAGCAUCAACAGCUGCUUUAAUUCUCAUCACAGCUUCCUCUCUGGACACCACCUUCCUGCCUUGUGUAUGACCACAAGCUUUUGGAGACACCUGGCAGUUCAGUUUUAUAAAAAAUCGGAGCCUCAAAACAGGAACAAAAACAAAUAAGUAUUUCUAAAACUAAACUGGAAGGUUAGACUAUAAACGAAAUGGCUUAGGGUACCAUAAACAUUGUUUACAGCACUGCACUACUGGUGUUAUGCCAAUAUAAUCACUUUUCAUUAGUGUGACUAGUUUCUUUCAUGAUAGUAGGUUUUCAAGCCUUCAGUAAGAUUUCCAGAGGGCAUCUUCUAUAUAGCCUGGUUCUGUUAAUUUAUUCUCAAAGGUUGAAAUUAAUCCAUAGAUUUAUGUUAGAGGAAGCCUGUAAGUUUUCUACUGACUUCCUCUUAUCAAUUAAAAUUUACUUAUUGCAGACAAAUAAGGAAUACAAUUUAUAUCUUCAAAUCUUACUUUUAACAUAUCAAUACAAAAGACCAUGUCAUGACUAGCCUUAGCAGCAGAAAAUAACAAAAAUUUCAAAAGCUCAGCCGUGGAGCUGGCAGUGCUAUUCCUAAAACCUACUACACUACUUUUCCAGUUCGCAUGCAUGGGCCAUAAAUAUAGAAAACACAAAAAGGUCCAUGAGACGAAGCUAAUAUGUUACUCUACAUGCUCAGAACCCAUCUAUCUAAGAUUUAGAACCCAUUAGCAUGACUCCUAACAAAAUUAAUCUAAAAACAGGAGAUAUAGAGUUAGAAAACACCUGAGAGACAACCAGAGAGAGGGAGAGGGGAGAGAGGACAAAGAAAAAGAUGAAUGACUGAAAAGGUUUACCAGCAACAAAAUUAUUUCAAAAGCCAAAUAUUUUUCAACAGAACAUGAACCUGAUCUUCAAGAAUGAUCCCUGCAAAGCCUGCUCUUAUAUAUCCUUUAACAGUUCUCUUGACAUUCAUUGCAUUUCCAUAUCCAUUAUCACCAUCCCCAAUGACAGGAAUUGAGACUGCCUGGGUGAUUUGUUGCCCCUGAUCCACCAUUUCACCAUAGGAAAUAAAUCCUGUGUCUGGUAAUCCCAGGCGAGCAGCAGAAAUGGAAAAUCCUAAUGAUGGCAGCAAACAGUGUUAAUGCACAUAUCAUCUUGAAACAGUUGAGCAAUGAAAGUUUUUUAACAAAUAAUUUGUCCAAUAAUACACAUUCAGAUUUUGAUACCGGAAAUGUAUCAGACAUAUCUAAAGGAUGAUUCAAAAGAAACAAAAUAUUAGUGUUGUACAAAUCAAACCCGCAUGUAAGAAGAACAAAAGCAUCAAAACUGCAGUAAUUACUAAUUUAUUAUAAGAACCAUAUGAAUUUUCAGUAAAAACAUAUAUGAUGGUCAAAAAUAAAUGCAAUGGAACUAAUAUCUGGCUUCUGGAGAUACAAAGAAACAAAAAAAUGGUAAACCAAAUUGCCUUGGAUAAAGAAAUAAUCAGCAUCAAUAAUCAGUUAGCGCUAAAAUUUGCAAAUUCAGAGCGUUCUUCCAGAUUGAAUUUAAAUGUAACCCAUCAACCAGAAAAUUAAAAUCAAACUACAAGCACAAAUAACUCCAAUAUUAUAUAACCAGCUUAACCAUUUAAACUCAUAUAGUUACCAAUCAUACAAACUAAGACCGAGUCCUGGGGUUAUCAAAUCAAUGCAAAAACUGCACAAACCACCAAAACA